Molecule: long non-coding RNA, 79199 nt
Filed under: Arabidopsis lyrata
Lineage: Eukaryota; Viridiplantae; Streptophyta; Magnoliopsida; Brassicales; Brassicaceae
Description: long non-coding RNA (ALYR_LNC001193)
Rfam family: mir-156 microRNA precursor family (bases 72568-72667)
Source: RNAcentral
UCUUGGAUUUUGUAAAAUGAAUUUAUUGGAUCACGCACUAUGCUUGUGAUUUUUGAUUGGGAUUCAUAUGGAAAAUUUUUGUUGGCCCUUUUUUAACCCAAAAAAAAAAAGCCACUGUUGAAAUGGUAAAUCUAUGUGCUCUUAUCGCUCUCGUAUCUUUUAGAGAGAGAGAGUCUUCUCUUCACUUUUUGUUUCUGGUUUUAACCAGAUCUGUUUAUAUCUUCGCUUUUGCGAUUCAAUAAUUCCAGCUGAGUGCUGGACUUUUGCUACCGGCUCAAUCCGGUUCUCUCUCGCUUAUAGGGAGCUUCGAUCUCUUUCCAUUUGGUCUCCUCUCAUCGAUAUCUCCGCUUUCUUCAAAACUCUCUCCGUUUUUCUCCAAUCAUUCGAGGAUUAAUAUCUUCGUCACUCUCCUUUUGCUCAAGAGUAUGAGCAAAGAAGGAUCAAAGUCUACAUCAAGUUGGGUGUAGCGGUGGUGGAGCUUCCCCGGUGUUGGCGUUUUCCGGAGCAAUUUUGAAGUGUUCUUCAUAUAAAUCCGGCAGAUUUCGGUGCUAUUCUUCAGUUGGAUUGCAGAUCGGCAGAAGGGAGAAGGAUAUCCAUCGCUCCAUGACUGAUUGGCGGUGGCUGAUCGGAAUUCGGCGGUGUCCGGCGAAUUUGACGGUGGUGCUUGAAAUCUUGACACGUGGCUUGGAGAAGAACACGUCUUCUACACGUGUCGUCCGAUAAAACAUAAUUUGCUUUUAAUUUUAUCUGUUUUUUCAAUUAUGUUUAUGUUGGGCCGUCAAAUUUCGUUUGUAUCCUUAAUGGGUUUUACCCCUUCUGUAACUGCCCUUUAGGCUUUAUGAAACUAAAUCUUUGGCCGACAAAAAAAAAAUGGUAAAUCUAUGUGUACCUAGUAGUAGUAAAUAAACCAGAAAAGAGAGACAAUUAUACAGUUAUUGUGCAUUAAACUGUUUACAGGCCUAUCCUGUCUUUCUCUGUAUACCAAGUUCUUAAUUUAAGCUAAUAAGAAAACAACAUUGAUAUAUUUAUAUAUAUAUCUCUCUCUCCAACUUCUGAUACCUCCAACCGUAAUAGGAAGCAACACUUCCAUUAAGCUUUCCAAAGCAUCUUCUUUAAAGAGCAAGUCUUCUCCUUGAAUUUGUAUCCCGCACGCAGCUCUUAUGCCAGAUUCUUCCUUUAAAAGCUUAUAACUUUUUCGGCGAUAGACUUUACCUUUCAAAAGGAUCUCCCGCCUCAACAGGAUAUUCAGGUGCAGCUACAGCUGCAUCGAUCUUCUCCCUUAGAUUGAAUUUCUUGGCGAUCAUUGGCCUUACAUCUUCAACUCCAAUUAAGCUUUCAAGAAAUGGGAGCAAGUGAAGGAGUUCUUUAUCUGACGGGUCAUUAAACCAGCUCUCUAUUGGAACCCCAUUCUCCACUUGGAAACCAAAUGCCUAAAACAUUGCACAAAAAGAAAAACACCAAUGAGAUAAUGCAAUAGCCUUGAGAUAGAGCUUAGAGGAUUUUUAAUGGCGGUUCUGGAAUCUACUUCUUUAAUCAAUCCCACACAACUUCAUAUUUAUAGAUAGCUAUUGCAAACUAAAAACUUCUAAUGGAUUCGCCCAUACAACCUUUCAUAGAUUACAGUUUUCCUAUACUACAACUGUAUCCUACAAUUCUAGCUGAUAAAUGCAUCUAUCGAUUGGCUUUGGUAUAAAGCAUAAGAAUGGAGAACUAAAUGUGUUUACUCAUUAAGUAGAAGGAUGAUAAGAGUAUAGUACCUGUGGGGAGUUGUCAACAAUGAUAACACGAGAUAAAUCACGCCCAAGGACUGACAAAUCCUUUAGGUAGUUACCAUCAAAGAAAACACAGGAGUCACGGUACACUCUAUGGCGAAAGAGCUUUCUCUUAGGGUCAAGUACGUUCAGAAGUUGCUCGGCAUAAAUGCUUUGGCUAGCUGUAAAUAUAAUGAUCUCAAAAAGACGGGAAACUCUCUCCAUAAACUCUUUGAGGUGAGGACGGCACCGCACAUACACCAUAUGCUCUUCUUCAUUAAAAUUUACAGGGAAUGUGAAAUCCACCUCACCACACGGUUCUAGAGUCGAGUGCACAAGAGUUUCUGCGAAUAAAAAACAUAUAAUGUUAUAGUGAUAACAGAUAAACCAAACACAAAAGGCUCUUGUGGAUCAUAAAAUUACUUCGAAAACAAAUCUUGCAUUGGAUUUCACUUAAGCAGAAAUGGACAAACAAAUAAAACUUUACGCCCUAAAUUUCUGCCCACAUGUCAUCUAUGAUUACAUCAAGUCUACAUACAAUGAUACAAUAUUGGUGAGGAAGAGGAAGACUAAUAUUUGUGUUCCAGUAAAACUUGCAAAGAGAGAUACUAUAUCAACCAAACGAAUCAACUGAAAAGUAGCCUUACCAUCAAGGUCUAGGACUAGAGAAAUAGGAGGACAGCUUCGGGUUUGUUUAGGAAGCAAGACCGGCCUGAAAGUUGGGACAACAGAAGACAAGUUCGGCAAGUUCUUAAUAAACAGAUAAGGAUCAAACUCAUCGAGUUCCUCAUCCUCUUCAUCAUCCAUGCAUACCGAAGUUAUAAGGGAAUCUUGGCCACGCUCGUCAACACAUUCCAGCUUCGAGCUCUUCAUCGCUAGAUAAAUGGCAGAAACCGAAUCCAAGUUACAAUUUGAAUCUACGGUACUUGUAUCUAGAGCAAGCAAUCGAUCAUAAGGGUUCUGUGCAUCCAAAUCCCGGGAAGAAGGAGAGUCAUCGUCUUCCAUUAAAAGCCUAUUAAAAUCAACUUGUAAUCGAAUUAGACAAUAGAACUCAGAGCCUAAUGCAAUUACUCCACAAUUUCAAUUUGACCCAUUUUUCACAUUCAUGUUUAAUACACAAUGCUCAAGAACUACACAUCUACAAGUACAAGCUAGAGUUCACCUCAGGAAACCAAAUUCAAACUUUUCAUGAACCUCAUAGAUACCAACCAGAAUCAAUGAUUUUACCUUGUAGAAACUCUCUUUCACCCCUGUAGCUACCGACAGAGCCCAGACGCCUGAGAUAAAUCAGAUCCUGAGAGCCGUCAAAUUGCAAACACUAGCUCAUACACAAGGAUACACUAAUCUGAGAAAGAAAACAGAUCUCGGAUUAGAAAGGGAGCGAAGCCCUAGAUAAUUCACAAGUAGGAACCAAAACAAAAAGUACCCAGAUUUGAAAGGUAAAAACUUUGGAGCCAAAAGAAGCAAAAUUCGAAAACUUUCAAUCGCGGAAAGUGACAGAAAUCAAUAUUUUAACAAGAGAACCGAACCGGAACUGAUCCCACGAAAUCGAUUUCAGAUAAUUGAUAUGUCUAGUCUAGGGAUUUUAAUACGAAAAAAGGGGGGAAAAAAGACAGCUAGAAAAAUCAAAGCUUUGACUGAGGAAACGAUGGAUAAAUCGGAUCUUUCCGCUUUCUCCACAAAUUUCUCUGCAAAUUUUCAAAAUUUCUUCAACGAAGCGCACACCCAGUUUAAACUCAAGUAGCCCAGAAAUUUGAGCUGAGAUUGAAGAGCUAAGAAGAAGAAACGGAGAUGGAAGGAGAAAAUUAAAAAAAAAAAACCCUAGAGAGAGUAUAUUCGUCGGAAAAAAGUACCUCCGAUCAAAACCGCUUUCUUCUAUCUUCCGUCUUCUUCUCUCUCUCUCUUCGAAAUAAAGAGUAAAAUAUUUGCUCGAAAUAAAUGAGAGACGACUACAGUCUACAUAAGCAAUGAAAUAUUUCAUUUAAAUGCCCUCAUACUUUAUAUAUAUUUCAUUAGUAACUGCUAUAGUUUUAGUUUGUUGAAACAAACCCCAAACAUUCGGAAAGUAUUAGACCAUCUCCAUCAAAGGUUUCUUGAUGGAUUUUGAAAUGAAUGACGUGUUUGGUGUUAUUGUUGAUAAAUAAGGUCCAACCCAACACAAAGGAAGUGAAAGCAUCAAACAUGUUAAGCCUAUUCAAGCAUGGCACAAUCCAUGAAUUAGAAGGGACAAUUGGCUUAAAAGAACACUGGUAUGUAUACGUUUUUAAUUUGAGUUUUAGAAUGCAUGUUUGCAAUUUGUCAAUACAGAUGAUUGUUUCAUCUUCUUCCCCAUCUUUCUCUUAUAAUCUGUCAAUAAAUUCAUUCUCAUUGAGCUUUAUCUCAUGUUAGUCCCACUUAUUUGUUUUUGUUUCAUACAUUGCUAUCAAUGUGGGUUACUUACUUACUAGUAAGAGCUCCAACAACAAAUUAAGGAUAUAAUUUUGAAAUUUUUAACUUCAACAACACUAACCAAAAAAGAUAGUUAAUUAAACAACCUAUGAGCCGCUAAAUAAACCAACUAUCUACUAUGUUGUUUAGUGAGUGAACUCACUCCCGCCAAGCUUUGAAAAGUUUUACAUAUAUGAAAAAGUUGGUUUCUGGAAACAUGUGGUGGAUAUAACAACAUAUUAGAAACAUAAGGGGUUAGAUUGCAAAUAAAACAGAAAAUAAACAAAACGGCGACAUUUUAGAGCGGUCCUCGUCAACUACGACAACAUUAGAGAUCGGUGGGAUCGUCGUCGUCGUACCCGUCAGACUCAAUGAAAAAAGAGAUUCCGCCGCACGUUGUUCAAAUCGAAAAAAAGCGACUCGCAAUAAAUCUGUCUUCCCUUUUUUUUUCUUAACCUGGAAGAAGAUUUAUCAAUCAGACACAACAGAGAAAACUGAUUUAUUCAUUUCAACAAAAAAAAAACAAAACUUUUAAAGUCUUCACCUUUAUAGAGAGAUUUUUAAUGGUGUGGUUGACGAAUCAACAGAUCGGGAGAUGGAAAAGGAAACGAAUUUUGGUUGUGGGAUCGUUCCUCUGUUGGUUAAUCAUCAUGUUCAUUACUCCCAAAGUUCCUCUCGAUUCCUUUCGUCAUCAUAUCUUCGCCGAUAAACGCAAUUUCAUGGGUAUCAUCAUCAUAUCACUCUCUCUUUUUUUUGAGUGUGUGUUUCUCUCUCUAUCUCUCUGUGCAUGUGUAAUAAUGAGAGACAGGUGUUUUGUGUGGGUUUGAUGAUGAUGAACAGGAGUGCCUAAUACAUUGAAUGUGAUGACCAACUUUCCCUUUCUUAUUAUUGGUGUUCUUGGUUUUGUUCUUUGCAUUGGAGGAAGCUUCUUCAACAUAAGGUUAUUUAAUUUUCUUCUCUUUUAGUAUUUUUGAAUUAGUGUUAACAAUCUGAUUUGUUGUAAUGCAGUUUAAAAGGUGAGAUCUGGGGAUGGACACUGUUCUACGCAGGCAUUGCAAGCUUGGCCUUUGGUUCUGCCUUUUACCAUCUUAAACCUGAUGACAACAGAAUCGUCUGGGACACUUUGCCUGUUCGUUUUCUCACUUUACUUUUUCUUGGGAACAUUGCUUCUUGAUUAGUGAUGCGGUAAUUGUAGAUAUUGACAAGCACAUUGUGAAUAGAAAAAGUUGAAGAAUCAGCUUAUAGCUAUGGAAAGAAGCUUAGAUGAGUCUUCAUGUUUGCACAUAGUUUUCUUGGAUUGGUUGGUUCUACAAGCACAUAGUGAACACAACUCAUCAACAAUCGUUUUAUAGCUAAUGGGAAUAAGCUUUAGAGAUUUUUGGGUCUAGAGUCUUGGUUUUUGGUUUUACCGAAUGAAAAGUUGUUUUUGCUCAUCAUGUUUAAUGGUUGGUUAUGAAUAGCUGUUUCUUGAUUAUGACUGUAAAAUUGCAGAUAUUGAUUGCGUAUUCGUCGCUUUUCUCUAGUUUUUUGGUUGAGAGAGCGGGGGAGAUAGUGGGACUAAGUUGCCUCAUCGUGCUUCUAUUCAUAUCGUUGUUCAGCGUUGCUUACGCCAGGUAACAUUAAAACCAAGAAAGCAUUACCUCCUCUGUAUACAUAUUUUCAUGGUUCUAGUCAGGUUUCGGAUUGAAAUUAUAUGCGUUUUAGUUGAUGGCAGAGUGUUUAAUGAUCUCCGGUUAUGCAUGACGUUCCAGUUGAUUCCAUGUCUGGCGAUUCCCGUCAUGACGGUUUUGUUACCUCCCAAAUAUUCUCACUCUAGAUUUUGGCUCUGGGCAACAGGUUUUUACUCAAAACCACUUUUGCGGUUUUCUUAUUAGAACCCACGAUCUUCUGAUAUCUGAUUAUCAUGAAUGCAGCGGCGUACACUAUUGCCAGGAUUGAGGGGCUUGCAGACAGCAAAAUAUACAAUGCAAAUCGAUAUAUCAUCAGUGGGCAUUCACUGGAGCAUUUGUGUUCAGCCGCGGCUACACUUUUACUUACCAUUAUGCUUUGUUGUAGAAGCAUUCGGUUAAAUAGGUAACUUUUUGUCACUCUCUCUUUUGAUCUUUGAGUUCCUUGAAACCUGAGAGGAUUUUUCAAUUUUCUUUUGUGUGAUGAAACUAAAACAGAUUAGGUGAUCUCAAAGGCCAUCCUUGACAUUCAUUACUGACUCCUCAAGGCUUCUUUUGUAUUCAGAUGCUUAUGGAUUCUUGUAAUACAGAUUUUGUAGGGUUGUUAAAUAGAUUUUUGACCCAUGAUCCCACUAAAACAUUGUUGGUUCGGUGUAAUCUUGGUUUCUGGUUUUGAAACAGCUUUGGCAUUGCUUUGGCUUUAAGUUUAAGAAGAAACCAAAAGAAUAAUCAUAACCCACAAAUUCACCUUUUAUUUUCUGUCUUGGCUUGUGACCUUUUUCUUAUUCGUAUGAUCACUUUAUUGAGGACUUUGAAUCAAAGCACAUAAUGUGGAAAUACUAAGACAGCAAUAGCAUUAUGGUCCUGAUUCCGAAUAAUCAUACAAUUCAACAAAAAUAGCAACAGUGAUGAGUAAAUCAAAGAGUUCAUAGACCUUCAAAGAAACGCAAAUGGUCGUCAAAAGUCUCAGCAUGCCUGAUCUUGGUGAUCGACCCAUCUUCUUCAACCUGCAAAAACAAGAAGAUAAAUCAAUCACUUUCUCUCGGGAUCUUGAUUCUCUGGUAAUUGCCGCAAAAAACAAUAAAAAGAAAGAGUAUUGGUACCCAGUAUUCCGGAGGUCGCAUCUUGAGAUUGUAAGUGGAAGCCAUACUCAUACAGUAUGCACCAGCGUCAUGAACCACCAAACAAGCUCCCUGUAAUGAAUACAAUAAACUCAUUUGAUUCCACAUUUACUUGAGCUGCCAAAUGUAAUCAGAUCCUUAUUAUACCUGCGGAGGAGUAGGAAGCUCUCUGUCUUUUCCCAAGAAAUCAGCAGAUUCACAAACAGGACCCACUACGUCGAAUUUGGAAACCUCUGCUUCAGGCGGUGUAGGAGAGACCAACUCAAUAUGCUUUUGUGUUAAGAAACAAGAACAAGAAGAUGUUUAGCUAUAGCUCAAAGGGGCUAGAAUCUGCAGAUGCUGUUGUGAGAAGUAUAUUUGUUUUACCUGAUAGGCAUCAUAAAGACUGGGACGGAUAAGCUCAGCCAUACUUCCAUCAAUCACUAUGAAGUUUUUAGUUCCAUUUGUCUUCACACCAGUUACAUGGUUGACGAAACAACAUGUGUUUGCAAUCAGCGAUCUCCCUGGCUCGAUUAUUAGAUUCAGGUCUCGCGAAAGAACAAGCUCUCUUACCUGAAACACAUCCAGUAUUGUAAAGAUUCUACCAAUUCCAGUACUUUUGAGAUCAAGAUGAAAAAAAGAGUUUAGAGAUGUUGUUCUUACGGUGUUGAUGAGAUCCAUGGGUGUAGGAAGGACAGCGCCAGCAUGAUAAUAAUCUAUCCCUAAACCACCACCAAUGUUCAAGUAGCUAACCUCAAAGCCUUGACGCCGGAUUUCAUCAAUGUAUUCAAUCAUGAGAACCGCAGCAUCUCUGAAUAUAUCCACCUGAAUUAGGAAAAAUAUUUAGAGCUCAAGAGUUGAGAUUUUAGAGAUAGGGCAAACCCAAACAUGGGAAACAUGAACAGAGAGAAAUCCAUAUUCAUCUCACUACAUCAAAACACAACUUAAAAGCAACUAUAGUCGGAAUUACCUUUGUAAUGGUAGAGCCAAGAUGGCAAUGAGCUCCAACAAGCUUCAGCUCUUUGGGAUGUGCCUUCACUUCAUCCAGAAACCAUUGAAGUUUCUCAUUUCUAAUACCAAACUUCGAGUUCUUGUUCCCAGUAGCUACAUAUGGAUGCACCUGAAAAAUGUAAUCAAACAGAAAAAGCUCAUUCAAAUCCAAUCUGUGCAGAACAAUGAUACUAAAGCAUUUGAAAAUUAAACUACCUGAGGAUCGACAUCAGGAUUGAUACGCAGCAGUACAUUGACCUGCUUACCAGAAAUUCUUGAAGCUUCCACAAUGUUAUUCAAGUCAAACUCACUAUCAACAUUUACGAAAACACCUUCUUGAGCAGCUAGAACUAAAUCUUCCAACAACUUCCCAUUUCCAUUGAAAAUGCACCUAUUCAUUUUAACAGACAUGGUCAACAACUAUCAUAUCACCAUUAGACCAAAUCAAUCUUCUCAUAUUUUGCUUCCAUCAGGAAUGUUCAAACUUUAUUAUUGGGGAUAAAGAAUCUUACUUUGUGGGAUCGAAACCAGCACGAAGAGCAAGCCUAAGCUCAUUUCCACUAACCAACACAGCACCACAGCCCAAACUCCUCAAAUGCUCCAAAAUCUUAAGAUUGUUAUUAGCUUUAAUAGCGUAACCAAUAACAGAUCUCACUCCUUCCAAAGCCUCUUUAUACGCCUCAAGGUUUCUCGUGAUCUGAGGUUUGCUAUAUAAGUAAAAGGGUCUUCUCUCGACUGACUCCAUGAUAUCUUGAACCUUAGUUCCUUCGCAAUAGAGAAACCCAUCUGAUGAUUUCUUGAAACAGUGGUCGAAAGAGGAAGCAGAUUCCUUCGUGAGGGUUUUGGUGGAGUUUUGGGAGUUUUGGGAUACGGCGGAUUUGACGGAGAGGCGUUUAAGUGGCUUCAAUGUGGACUUGAGAGACAAAAUUGGGAUUCUUGAGAGUGAGGUUUGGUUCAAUUGGUAUUGAUUUAGGGUUCCGCGGAUAGAUGAAGGUUGGGAGAGAAAUUGAGUAGCUGCGGCCAUGGCUGGAGGAUUUUUUGUGAGGUGUGUUGGAGUGCGACUGUUACAGUUACACUGAAGGGUUUAGAAAUAAAGUCAACGAGUCCUGUCGGGUCCGGUUUUGGAUAUCCGACAAUAUCGAACCGGUGGUUAUAUUGUCGAACCGGUGGUUAAAGAAGAAGAAACAAAGUCGAUUUUAACUUUUUUGGGUAAACGAUCUCUAUUUCUCCUAGAAACUUUCAUAUAGCAUCAGUUCCACCCAGAUUUUGGUCCUCGUUCUAUUUCUACACAAACUAAAAGUUCUAAACCUAUUUGAACACAAAAUUAAACUUCGAAACUUAUUUACACACAAAUUCAUAGUCCAAAACCAAAUUACACAUAAACAAUGGUUAGUGUCGGUUUACUGUUUACCAAUCUAUCUUUAACCAUCUAAACCUGAAACUAAACCGAUUACAAUUAAAUAAAUAAAUUAAUUAAUUGAAAAAAAAACUCAUUGCUUGUCUUUCACGAACUCAACGCCUUCUCCAACCCAACACCACCGCCUGUUCUCCGGCUACUCCUCAUCGGAGUCAAAUGCCUCCAACACUUAUAGUAAAUUUGAUUUCAUACAACACAGAUCUGUGGUGGAGGAGAUCGCCGGUGUCGCUCUUGCUCCCUAGAUUCAGUUUUGACGGAGGUCGUCUCGUGUUCCAGCGGCGUUGAUUCUCAACAUCUUUGUCGACCAUGUUGAGCUAUGUCUCUCCCUACCGCUCUUGUGAUUUGGCGCCGGUGAUGGUGGUGAUAUUAUCGCCCUAAUUAGCAUGGGAUUUAUGAUUCCAUUCGUUUAUAGCUUACUCGAUUACAUUUCUCAGGAAUAAACCUUAUGGCUUUUCAUUCAAUUUUUCGGUUGCUCAGAUGGAAACCGUAUUAUGAGUCAUUGGAUCUGUAAUUAGUUCAAAGUAUGAACCUUUGACUCAAUUUUGUAAUUCAUUGUUGCUUUACGUGAUAGAAGUUAUCUUAAGUGAUAGUUCCAAAUAAGUGGAAGGAUAAUGCUCGCAAUGUCACGAAUUCUGUGAAACAUUAUCGAUGGUUUUUUAGUAUUUUCAGAAAAAUAUGCAAUUAUGAGGGGAAGAAGACAAAUAGAGGAGAUGCAAGUGCAUCGUUUUUAAUUUCUUUGUUUUGAUUAUUGAAACCGCUUAGGAGAUUUGACAUAAGUGGUUUAAUAUCGGUUUGUUGUUGGUUUUAAGUGGUUUUAUAUCGGUUUUAGAUUGUAAACCGAUAAAACUAAUAUAUAUGUGUAAAUAAGUUUCGAAGUUUAAUUUUGUGUUCAAAUAGAUUUAGAACUUUUAUUUUGUGUGGAAAUAGAACGACCACAAAAAUCUAGGUGGAACUGAUACUAUAUGGAAAUUCCUAGGGAGAAAUAGAUCGUUUAUCCAACUUCUUUUGCAUAUAUGGGUUUUGGCCUUUUGGGCCUUUGGGGAAUAGUUUCUUCUGCUCGUGUUUGUUCGGUUGCGGUAGUUGUGUGUUGUAAUAAUCUUGAUGCAUUAGGGGUCACUUGUCUCAAUCGUCUUGGAAAUCUAGCCCUAUCUAUACAUUGUUUUGAAUGAUAACGAUGAAGUGCUCUGUCUAGCCGUGCACAUGUGGAGACUCAAAACCCAAUUUAACAUUGUUUGUGCACAACUCAAUGUAAAGAGAGAACAAUCGACCCAAAAAAAAAAAAGGUAUAGAGAGAACAACGAAGUUGUACUAUGUAGAGGAGUCAACAAAAACAAAAACAAGGAAAAGACAACUACUACUGUAUGUCUGUAUAUGGCAAGUUUGAUGAUCAAUUGUUCAUAGCUAUGUAACUUAAAGCCGGAAAAAAAAAUCAAUUUUAAAACAAAACAUUUUUGAAUGAAAAUUGUAAAAAAGCCUUUUAAAUUCCCAUAUACAAUUUUUUUUUUAUAAAUAUUAGAAACUUGUAUGAUAAAUUUACAUAACGAUGCAAAAACAAGUUGAAUUUGUGGAAUCGCUAACGAUCCAUGACAGGAUCCAAAAUCCGAAUAGUUUCACAUCGUUUUGUAAAUUUAUUACCCAAAUUUCUAUUAUUUGAAAAUUUUAAAACUAAAAAAUUGUGAAUAAAAUUUUUUAAAACCCAUGGAAAAAAAAACUGAAAUAUUUUCUUAAAAAUAUAGAACCUUGUUUGAUAAAUUUACAUAACGAUGCGAAAACAAGUUGAAUUUGUAGAAUCACUAACGAUCAAUGACAGGAUCCAAAAUCCGGUUAGUUUCAAUUCGUCUUGUAAAUUUAUCAUACAAAUUUCUAUUAUUUAAGCUAAAAAAAAUAGUUUUAAAAUUUUUAAAAAAGAUCAAUGAAAAGUUGUAAAAAAAAAAAAAACUUUAAAAUCCGUAACAAUAUUAACUAAAUUCAUAAUCUUUCAAAAGCUUUUAGAGUUUUUAGCAUAUAAAAUUUUUUAAUUUAUUAAUUUUAUAAAUAUAUUUUUAAAAAACAGAAAAAAAAGAGGGGGGGCUGAAAUUGACCUUGCUUGUAUGGGCCGAAAAUUGUUGUUUUUGGACUGCACAACGUACAUCUCUAAUUUUCACCACAGUCACCGGCAAACGGCAAACGAAUCCCGAUCCAUCCACUGAUCCACCUCAUCAAUCUUGCCUCUCUUCUCCAGUCAUCUCCGACGACGAUGUAGCACCCACCUCUUCGGUAUUCUUCGCAGAGUUUUCUUAGAAACCACAGUCCAUCCGUCACGACGAACCGACGGAGAAGAGAGGAUCAUCGCACAUUCAUCUACGAUCUCGCUUUGAGUGAUUGUAAACGAAGAGCUCAUCCUCUAUCACGCUCGUUUCUUAUUGGCGAAAAGAAAGCAACGACAAAUCAAGCGUUGGAGCCAAAGAUUGAAAUAAUAGAAGCAAGGAAGUAUGAAUGGAAGAAGAGAAUGCUAAAAAAAUUCAGAGUGCAAUUUUCUCACUCUAUAAAUCUGUCUUUCUCUGGUUUGUGAUGAUUAAAACGAUUUGACAUUGAGAAACUAUAUUUGUAGACACAUCUUCUGUGUAAUUUCCUUUUUUUCAAAUCUCAGUAUAGUUUCCUUUUUUUCAAAUCGCAGUGUAAUUUCCUUUUUUCACAUGUGUUUGGGAAUUGGGAUUCAAGUUUCCUUUUUAUUUUUACUCUUCUGUUAUUUCCUUUUUUCACUUUCGUUUGGGAAAGUCCAGAGCAAAAGGUUCGGUGAAUAUUUUCCUUUUUUGACACGUUUGCUCACAACUAUUACAAAGAGCAAGGAAUGUUCUUAGUUAGGGUUUGUUAUAUUUGGCAACCAUUGUUUCGGGUUAUCUAACUAACAUUGUGCUCUGCCUCCUUUGUAAUUUUGGAUCCUGUUACACAAGGACCCUUUCUUGGAUUGGGUUUGCUUACAACUUUGCUUCUCUCAUCAUACUAUAUCCAUCUCUAUAAUCCCUGACUAUGUAAUUGUAUAUAGCGGAGCUGACGUGGUCCUGAAAACCUGCAGCCGCCAUGUGAAUUCCGCAGUGGCCAGGAAUCGAACCCACGUGGCGGUACCCCCAACUGGAGGUCCUUUACCACUAGGAGACAACUCCUAGUUGUAUAUAUAUAUUUAGCUGUUUGACAAGUGACAAUGUAACUUUUGGUUCAAAGUAAUAAAAGUAAGACGUUAGAAACAAACUUUACCAUAUGUUAUUGGGGUAUAUAGACAGACUUUAUGGUUUGGUGAAGUAGGCUCAAUCUUUUCCCCUUUAUGUUUCCAUCGUUGAUGUUUAUGUUACUAUGUACCUUGCUGGUUGGAACCACUUGUGAUUUCCGACAAUGCUACUCUGUAAUGCAGUUAUCUUUUAAUGAAACGUGAUCGAUCUUGAGUGUUUUAUUUAGUUUUAAAAGAUUUUAUGGUGUGUGGACACUUGACGGGUGAUAAUUGGUAACUAUACUUAGUUAGAGAGCUAUUGAAUUAUUAAUCACGCUUAAUCUUGGGAAUUGAGAGCUCGGAAACAAAGGUUAUUAACAAAAGUUAAAGCAGCAUUGCCGAUGAAAUAAUAAUUGACUUGGGAUUUACUCUCUGAACCAAAUGGAGAUUAUUCUAAUUAUAUUUUUAAUUUCGGAUCCCUAAUCUAUUACUCCAAUAUCUGCACUCAUUUAAUUCUUUUCUCUUUUUUUAACCUGCACCACUGACUUAAAUUCAAACUUAUUCAAUUGCGUGCACUCUUUUAUUUUAUUUUAAGUGAACUGCUACCACUAUCACUAUGUGUCGGUGGAUUAUUAUUUCCGUCAUUUUGAUAUUUAAUUACAUCUUUAACUCAUUCUAACUCAUUUUAACUCACUAUGUGUUACUCUAACCCAUUCUUCUUCAUUAGAUUUGUGGAUAACUGGAUACUCAUUAACAAUCAUGAUAACACUUUAUUUUUCCUUUCCAUUUACUCUAUUUUGAAAUACUAAAACUUGAAAAAAUUUGUGUGAGUUUUUUCAUAUUGAGUUAAACGAAGCUAAUGUAAAAGCGGAUUAUCUGGCACAAAAAAUUCGUAAAGAACCGUUUCAUAUCACAUUUGUAAACAACAUUCUCCAGAAAUACCUCUAUUGAAUCCUAAUUAAUUUUGGAUGACAAAAAGAAAGAGUUAAAAGAAGUUACUAUCGAGUUAAAAUUUGUGUGAGUUUUUUCAUAUUGAGUUAAACGAAGCUAAUGUAAAAGCGGAUUAUCUGACACGAAAAAAUCGUCCAAAACCGUUUCAUAUCACAUUUGUAAACAACAUUCUCUAGAAAUAGCUCUUUUGAAUCCUAAUUAAUUUCGGAUGACAACAAAAAAAAUGAGUUAAAAGAAGUUAUUAAAACCAAAAAAUUGGAGACGAAAAAAAAUAUCGACAACACAGCUUAGUAAUAUUCGUUAAAAAGAUACUCCUACUACACAUGUGUAAAUUGUUUUUUCAGAAAUAAAUUUGUAUAAAUUGGGGCCCCUUUGUAAAUAAACCUAUCUACAUUUAAUUAUUUUACCACCCAAUAAAGAUUCCACAGACUUGGCAUGGAAGUCAUGAACAUUCACAAAAUCUAAGAAAAACUGAAAACCGAAAAUAAAUAAAUAAACUCAAAAAUUAAUAAAAAAAAUAAAAUUUAAAGCUAUUAAGAUUCCACAAAAACUCUGUAUUGUCUCUCUCUUUCUCUCACUAUCUCUCUCUCUUUCUUGAGCUCAGAUCUGACCAGAGAAAGAAACAAUCGGAGAAGAAGAAGAAGAUGACUGACCGAGUCUUCCCAGCUUCCAAACCACCAACCGCCACUAAUGGAGCUCCACCAGGUGGUUCCAUACCUCCUCCUCCGGCUCCGGCAACAGUAACCAGCAACGGAACAGCCAAUGGAAUGGCAAAUCAGAAACCUCAAGUCUAUAUUCCGGCUAACCGUCCGAUUUACCGUCCACAGCCUUACAGUCGCCGUCAUCAUCACCAAUCUCGACCAAGCUGCCGACGAAUUUGCUGCUGUUGCUGUUUCUGGUCGAUUCUGAUAAUUCUGAUCUUAGCUCUCAUGACAGCAAUCGCCGCCACCGCGAUGUACGUGAUCUACCACCCUCGUCCGCCGUCGUUCUCCGUCCCGUCGCUACGAAUCAGCCGCGUAAAUCUAACGACCGCCUCUGAUUCCUCCGUCUCUCAUCUCUCUUCCUUCUUCAACUUCACUUUACUCUCAGAGAAUCCAAAUCAACACCUCACUUUCUCAUACGAUCCUUUCACCGUCACCGUUAAAUCAGCCAAAUCCGGUACGAUGCUCGGUAACGGAACUGUUCCUGCUUUCUUCAGCGAUAACGGUAACAAGACGUCGUUUCACGGCGUGAUCGCUACGUCAACAACGGCGCGUGAGUUAGAUCCGGAUGAAGCUAAGCAUUUGAAAUCAGAUCUGACGCGCGCGCGUGUGGUAUUUGAGAUCCAGAUGAGAACUAAAGUGAAGAUGAUAAUGGGGAAGCUGAAGAGUGAAGGAGUAGAGAUCAAAGUGACAUGUGAAGGAUUUGAAGGAACUAUACCAAAAGGUAAAACUCCAAUUGUAGCAACUUCUAAAAAAUCUAAGUGUAAGUCUGAUCUAAGUGUCAAAGUCUGGAAAUGGAGUUUUUAGAGGGGAUUUGAUAUUUUCACAAUUGAAAAUCUUUUUAUUUUUAUUUUUUUCUGGAUUUUGUGAAACUUUUGGAAUGAUCCAAAAAAAAAUUUCUUCAGUUGUUAGUUAAAAAUUUUCAGAGAAGAGUCAGAGAGAGAGAGAUAAGAUAUUGUCAAGUAGAAGAAGGCCAGAGAAUUCACAGCUUCUAAAAAAAAAUACUUGGAUUUUUGUUUUUUUUUUUUUGUUUGGAACUUUCUUUGUUUGAAUUUAUAUAUACAAAUAUAAAUGUAAUACUUAUAAGGGAAUGGGAGUACUAAAAAGCUGGAGAUUGCAGUGACUGCGUUAUAGUGAGAGCAUUAAAGUGAAGAUCAUAGUAGUAAUAAAACAGAACCUUAAAAAUGCAAAAAGAUGCGUGGGGUUUAUGAAGAGACCAAUGAAGAACACAAGAGAUGUGUUAAAUGUUAGAUGUUGAACCAUCUCUUCGCAUUAUACUACACCAAUUAAGAGAAAUGUGAAUCGUCUUAAGUGCAUAUACUAUUUUUUUUUCUAGCAGUUGCAUGUAGUAUAACAUUAAUACAGAUCACUCCAUUCAUGAAUGUUAUAUGGUUUGAUAUAAACAUUAAAUUAUAUCUUGCCAAUCAGAGUCUCCAAAAAGACAAGUUUCCCGGCCAUGCUGUCCGAAAACAUGAAUAAAUGGUUCAUUUAUCUAAGAAACUUUUUUUUUUUUUAAUAACUAAUUAUUAUAAGUAAACUUUUGGAGAGGUUAUUUGUAACUGACUCUGACCAGGGAUAGACUCGUGAAAUCUUAUCCAACUAUGGACGACGACGACUUCAUGUCGGUGUGUCCAAAAAUGAGAAAAAAGGAAUCUGUCCAAGGGACAUAUGGCGUUACCCAAAAUGGCAAAGGAGAACUGCAGAAAAAAAAGUUGACAAUAGCGUAUUUGGUGCGACUCAAAAAAAAAAAAGACUUGUAAUUGAAUAUGGUAUAUGACGUAAAUAAAUAAUUUGCCAAUGCCAAUAAGUCAUCAUAUUUAAUUCAGCGCAUGACCUCCAACGUCGGCAUAUAUUUGAGUCGGUGACCGGAUAUCCAGUACAAAGUACAAACCAAAAAGAAAGACACAAAAAAAAGAAAAAAAACGGUAAAGAAGACUUGCUUACACGGACUUUACACAUUAGAAUCAUGAUAGAAGAAGACAUGCAUAGUAAAAUGUAUGAGACCUUAAAUGAUUUUUUUUUGGCAAUGCCAAUAAUUCAUAAUUUUUUUAGAAUUAACCAUGACAUGCAUAUCUCUUAGAUUUUUUAAAAAGGCCUCUAAUAUUGAAGCAAAUGAUAGAAGUUUAUGUUUAAAACCCAAGAACCAUGUAAAGGCCCAAAUAGAACCAAGUUAACCAAAAUAUCAAAAACAUUUGUAGUUUUACAUUAAAAUUAAAGCCCAACACAUGUCCUAAGCCUUUUUCACUUGUCUUCUCUGUUGGUUUUCCGACAUCAUUAACUUCGCGGGGGCAAGCGACGAACAGAAGAAAAAAAAAAGGAAAAGGAUUAUUCCGCCGUAGAAUCCCAUAUUAUCUCCCUCAUCACUUUGCUACACAAGAAUCUCAUUUUCGCUUUUCCAAAGGAAACAAGAACUAUCUAUGGCGGAGAAGCUCGAGCCGGUGAAGGUUUUGUACUGCGGAGUUUGCUCUCUACCAGCCGAAUACUGCGAAUUCGGUCCCGAUUUCGCUAGAUGUAAGCCCUGGCUCGUCGAAAACGCCCCGGAUCUCUAUCCUGAUCUCCUCAAAGGUACCUAAAAAUAAAUCAAACCCUAAUUUUACAAAGUUUCGACCAGUUCUUAGGACUCGUUUGAUUUUAGGUUUGUCAGCUUUAUGACUAGUGCCUCAAAAAAUUUCUAUUUCUUCCAAGGGCUAAGAGAUUCACACAAUCGAAAAUAUAAAGCUUUUUUGUUUUAGCUUGAUUCAUAUAUUAUGGUCUGUUCAAGGUGGUGAUUAUGUAAUGUUGGAUUGUCAAUGCUAUUGUGUAGAGUUUUCGAUUUUUUUUUUUUUUUUGUACCUUUUGCACUUUUGUUCUACAGCUUAUGACAAUGAGUUUAAUCUAAUUUUAAAAAACAUACUAAUAUUUGAUUUUGAAUAUGAAUUUUAAAUGUGUUCAGAAGCUAAUGAGAAGGCAGCAGAUAAUGUUUCUGACAAACUCCAGUCAGUGGGAAUCUCUUCAGGUGGUGCUGAUGGGGCACCAUCUUCAGCUCAGACUGGUAUGUAACCGUCUAUGUGUGUGCUUUUGCUUGUUCAUGUAAAUCCGACUGCACUUAUAGUUGCAAGUAUACUUACUCUCUCAAUACUGAUCUGAAAUGUACUUGGUGUAUGUAUUCUAUUGUAGACACCUAUUUUUUAACUGUAUAUCGCUAUGUAAAUGGUUGGAAGCAUCUGUAAUGUAUUUUUUUUCCUGGGGAUUCUGCAAUCGAACUGUUAAGCAUGGAUGAUAAAUAUUUCUAGAGUUACUGAUUGGUGUUGAUGUCUAUGUUGGAAGGAUUUGGCUUUUAGUUGAAUUUCUACUCAUUAAUCACUGGGUUUUCCAAUAUAUAUAGCAGGGACAUCCAAGAAGGAGGAAGUGAAGCGCCUACCUGGGGGAAAAGUUAAAAAGAAAGUAAGUAAUAUCGUGUAACCUUCCUUCCACCUUACUGGAAUGUCUUAAUGCAUUACCAAGUUUCCAUGGAAACAUACACUUUUCAGUUGACUCACAUAUCUGCGUUUACUUUUCCGGUUUCCACUCCUUCGUCUUUGACGUGGACCUGUUUGUCCGGUUGUCUAAUUUUCUAAUGUUUACGGAUGCUAUAUAGGAUCGACAGGAAGUUAUUAUUGAAAAGGUUGUACGCAACAAGCGCAAGUGUAUCACCAUUGUCAAAGGACUAGAACUGUUUGGUGAGUUAUUUACUUCUUUUGUGAGAUAUCUUAGUAUUCUUAUUGGCUGGAACAUACCUCAUUCUUUUAACCCUAAAAUUUUUUUCGUCAGGGAUAAAACUAAGUGACGCCUCUAAAAAGCUUGGGAAGAAGUUUGCCACUGGAGCAUCAGUUGUCAAGGUAUGUAUGUAAAGGAUGAAUUACAAAUCAAAUAUGUAUACGAAAUAGGUUUUAUGCUUAGACAGAUUAGUGAGUUUGGUUUUGUUCUAGCUGAUCUUGUUGAGCAGAGCUUAUGGUUUUUUAGAGUUUGUAACUGCUUUAGACCUGUUGAGUCUCUAAUUUUAAAAUUUGGGCUCCACAGAAAAGUAUGAAGUCUUCUUCUCUACAUAUAUGACUUUUGACCCCUUACUGCAUCUGAACCAAUUUGUUUUACCACUUUCUUCCUCUUAUGCUGAGAUUUUUCUAAUAUACUGUGUUUCAGGGACCAACUGAAAAGGAGCAAAUUGAUGUUCAAGGAGAUAUAAUCUAUGAUAUCGUUGAAUUCAUUACAGACACUUGGCCCGACGUAACAUAGCUUAUCCUUUUCUAAUUUGUUCUUGGUUCUCUCUGCAUUCGUUUGAUAACUUAUGAUUGUUGCAUUGCCAAUUUCUAGGUACCUGAAAGAUCCAUUUUCUUCAUCGAAGAUGGUAAGAAGGUUCAGGCUGGUUGAUGAUCACCUUUGUCCUCGGUUUUGGCAUGGCGGGUUCAUGUAGACGAGCUAGUUCCUGAGUUAUCCUAUGUGUUUGGAGGAUAUCGCAUCAUGAUAAUAACUUUCAACAUAACGUAUAGUUGGAUAAUCAUACUACUUUCUUAUUCGGGUUGCGAUAAUUCCAUACAUGUUUCUCCAAACAUUUCUCUUUUUGGGUGUCUUAAUAUUUAAAAUGCGUCUUGAAAUGAAUGCGUUCUUCGUUCUUGACCGCAUGAUCAGCUUUGUAAGACCAAAUAUACUCUCAUCGGCCAAACCAGUGAUCUCGUGUGUCUUAUAAGCCAAUAGUUUAGGGCAGCUAGAUUCAAAAGUUGAUGCUAAACCAGGCCUAAGAAACCAAGUGAAACCUUUAUGAUCGAUUUUGUGUUGAGACAUUUAACCAGACUGUAUCCUAACAACAAGAUUUUAUACAGCAAAAGAUCAUUCUGGUUUCUACUUGUGUUUAACUGAUUUCAAACCGUUUAUUAUCACACCUGCGACAAUAAAUAACUCAGCUAAGCUGUUUAAAUUCGCGAUGUAAUAGGAACAACUGAUCUCAUAGAGUCUUGGUUACUUGUACUGAUAUCACCUGACUCAUCAUCUUUCUUGGGAUCCAAUUUGAAGAAUGAGAGAACAAUAGAAGCAAGCUGAUGCUGGUGAGAAGUGAACUCAUGAUCAGCUCCUUCAAUAAGACACAGCUUAUGAUUCUUUAUAUGUUUGGCAAAUUCGGACGCUUCUGUUACAUGCACAAUCCUAUCAUUUGACCCAUGGACUGUUAAGACCCUGAAAUUUUAAGAGAAUCAUUAGUUCCUCUAUUAUAGAAUGAAACCAAAAGAGACAAAAUCUUAUAAGGUAUGAGGAUAGACCUGCAGUUUUCAUGAAUUGAGAGACAUGCUUCAUGAGCAUUGGUUGUGAGACGGUCCAUUAGACUCUCUUCUGUUACCCGAUAUUCAAACUUUCCUGCAACGAAUAAAGGGGAAGAGUUGCCUCUAACAGUACCGGUAAAUGCCAAACACUAUGUUUUCUGGCUCUAACAAUCACAAAACAAAACAAAAAAGCUGAAAGAAUUACCCUUUCUGUUACUAACAUCUAUGAAUCCAUUCUCUUUGAUUCUCUUGAAAUAGUCCUUACCAAGCCGGCCUUCGAUUCCUCUCUCAAGAAAAAACCGGCCGGAGAUAUUCACAACAGUCUGCACAUCCUUGUACUUUGCUGCAUACAAAAGCACCACAUUUCCACCUGCACAAAAUUCAGUGACAAGAACAACAAAGCUCUAUUCUUUCUUGAAUUCAGAAACACGAAAUCGACAUUAGUUUUACGUUCAUAUAUACCUUUACUAUGUCCAAUUAUCGCAGAAAUCUCACGGUUAACCCCACGCAAGUGUUGCAGAACAGAGCGCAGAUCUUCAACUUCACGGCGAUAGUUACCAUACUGAAAUGAUCCUUGGCUUUCCCUGAAGUUCAGAAACAUGAGUAAAGCAACAAACACUUAAAAAGAAAGAAAGGGAAGUAACAAUUCACCCGUUGCCAGCGAAGUCAAACCGGAAAGAACUGAUCAUCGCUCUCUCAAAGAAACUGGCAAUGGUCAGCAUUGGAAUCCGAUCCUAGAAGUAAAUAUAUAUGAAGAUUAAAGUGUUUAGAGAAAACCAAUACAAAUUCAAAGUUUCGUGGAAUCUAAAAUGUGAAUCAAAGGAAGUUUGCAAAUGUUGAAAUCUGAUGAGAAUGCUACCAAAAAAAAAAAAAAGCAAACCUUUGAUGACCGAAAUCCAUGGCAGAUGACAACAGUCUCUAUAGAACCCGUAUCAUGCAAAACUCCUACGAGUUUCUCACCAUGACUGUUCUCAAUUACAAGUCUUCGCUGUUGAAUCUCUGCCAAGAAUUUCCAGACAAAAAUCCAAUCACCAACAAUGUUCAAGCAGAUACAAAAGCCUGUUCUAUGAUCAAUCAAACAUUGAAAAGCCGAAUACAAUCGAAUUGGUAGUUGUAGGAACAAUUUGAACAUAAUAACCUCACAAUAUCAAAAUCGCAGUAAAAUCCAAAUGAUAGCGAAAUGUCAGAAUCAGAAGCGUAUGGAUCAAAAACACAAUGGUACAAUUUAGGAUCGAGAAAGGAGAUGAAGCUUACCCGAGUUGUCGAUUCGUUCAUGGCUAGAUUGAUUCCGGCGAGUCUCCGACAUCGUCGCGCGGAGGAGAUACCUCAGCUUAAAGGGACUCGGAAUUUCUUAUACAGAUAUAAAAGUGAUUUAAUGAAUGAUAUGUUCAACGUUUGGGAUUAGGAAGAAAAUCCGUAUUAACUAUUAAGAAAAUCAGGAUUAGGAAGAAAAUCAGAUAAGUGACUCUUGGAUCAUUUUGAUUUGAAGUUAGAAAAGGAAUAUUUUGUCAAAAAAAAAUGCAUAAAAUUUGAAUUACUUUCACUCUUAGUGUAAUAAAAAUGACACUUUUUAUGAAAUGUAAGGAGUAAAAAAAAAAGCAUCUCUUUUUUUUUUAAAUAUAGAGGGUUUUAGGACCCUAAAUGAUUGCAUAUUGAAAAGAGAAAAUUUUUAAUACAUAUCAAAGACCAAGUUGAUUAAACAUAUUUUAACCCCGCCUGCCUAAGUUUUCUCAAUCAUAGAAAUGACAACUAAUGAACAAUCCAAAGAUAUUAGCUAGCAAUACUGGCAAAAAGACGUCGUGGCAAUAUUGUAAAUAAAUGGCCUAUUUUUUUUUGCAUUUGAUUAACAAAUAGUAUGAUACCAAGUAAAAUAGCUUGCUAUCAGAUAAAAUAAUAUGAUACUAUUUGUUAAAAACAUCCUAAUAUUCUUAUUGGUCUAAUUACUUGGUGCUAAUCAUGAACCCCACAUUCUUCUUAUUGGUGUGAUUACUUGGUGCUUUCAACGACUUAAGGAUUAAGAAGCCAUACGAUGCCGUCUCCUUGUUUUUAAUACAAAGGAUUAAAUUAUUGAGACUUGAAAGUGUCAUGGGAUUAUUACUACGGAUUUUGCCCUUUUUUAUAAUGUUAUAUAUGAAUUUUGCCCUUUUUUAAAUAAUUUAUGGAUUUUGCCCUUUUUAACACUUAAAAAUAUACGUACUUAUGAUUUUUUUUUCAAAAAUACGUACAUUAUACCAAAUACUAAACCCUAAGAACAACUGGAAUCGACUAAACACAAACAUAACGAAUGAAACGCAUGUUAAAUCAUAUUUUUGGAGCCUAAAAAGGGCAAAAUUCAUAAAUUAUUCAAAAAAGAGCAAAAUCCAUAAAUACCAUUAUAAAAAAGGGCAAAAUCCGUAAUUAAUUCAUCAGGGGUAAACUUUUUCAUAAACAAUGACUAAGGACCACAUUGACUAAAAUAUAUAUAACUCCACUUGAUGAAGUUUCCGCAAUAAUAAUAGAAAUCACAUUUAAUGAAUAAUUCAAAGACCUUUUACCUACAAUGUACCAUUAACAAAGACUGACGACUACAAAGCUUAAUCAAUAAUUAUAAUAAAAUUAAGCAGAUAUAAUUAGCAACUAUCUGAGAGUUUCUUCCACGAUACUUCGAGAUUAAGACAGAAUAAGAAGAGUUUGUCAAUGUCAACGCCAAUGGCAUUAUAAGUACGAUGAUUGUCUCUGACGACUCUAUAAUCAUUUGAUCUUGGCAAGAUCUCAAGAGUAAUUCAUAAAAGAAAGCAACACAUACACACAUCAUUUUCGUAAUCCUUGAGGGUCGAUUUCGUUGCCGAGUAAGACCGAUCAUCGAUGGCUGAGGCAAUGGCACAGAAUCUUCUUCAAGACAACCAGCUUAACCGGACUUCCUUCCAUUUCCAACCUCAGAGAAAUUGGCUCAACGGUUCUAUUUCUUUCUUUUUCCUCCUAUUUAUAUUCAUAUAUAGAUCAUGUUGGUUGUGAACUAAAUAUCAUAUUGGCAAAUAUCUCUUAUAGUAUUAUUAGUUCAUAAAACCGGAAAAAAAUAAAACAAUGGUUAAUUUCUGUUUAUUGCAAUUAAUCACUGAAUCAGGUUAUUAAUUUCUACAACAAGAUAUUUAAAACUAACGAUUGUCUUAAUUUUAUGUCACUUAUGGUGCUUGGAUGCAUUUUGGAAAUCUGAAGAUCCAAACGGUACUUAAAUACUCUACCAAUCAUUAGCUUGUGACACGAGGAACCCCAAGUUGUUAUUAUAUGAUGAAAUAUUUAUAUUAUAAAUGUUGUUUCAGCGCCAAUGUACUACAAAGGAUUCUACCAUUUGUUCUACCAGCACAACCCUUUGGCUCCUGAUUUCAGUAAAAUAAUGAUAUGGGGGCACUCUGUUUCACAAGAUAUGGUCAACUGGAUCCAACUUGAACCAGCCCUUUCUCCUUCUGAGCCCUUUGACAUCAACAGCUGCUGGUCAGGAUCCGCCACGAUCCUCCCCGAUGGCAGACCUGUAAUUUUGUACACCGGACUCGACGAUAACAACAAACAGCAAGUCACAGUUGUUGCCGAACCAAAGGACGUUUCUGACCCUUUGCUUCGUGAGUGGGUUAAGCCAAAGUACAAUCCUGUGAUGGUUCCGCCAAGUAAUGUCCCUUUUAAUUGUUUCCGUGACCCAACGACGGCGUGGCAAGGGCAAGAUGGGAAAUGGAGAGUGCUCAUAGGAGCUAAGGAGAAAGAUACUGAGAAAGGAAUGGCUAUUUUGUACCGAAGCGAUGAUUUUGUCCAGUGGACAAAGUAUACAGUGCCUUUACUUGAGUCAGAAGGAACCGGAAUGUGGGAAUGCCCUGAUUUUUUCCCGGUUUCUGUCACUGGUAAAGAAGGUGUUGACACUUCAGUGAACAAUGCUACUGUGAGGCAUGUCGUGAAGGCGAGUUUUGGAGGCAAUGAUUGCUAUGUCAUUGGUAAAUACUCUUCUGAGAAUGAAGAAUUUUCAGCGGAUUAUGAGUUCACUAACACUAGUGCGGAUUUGAGAUAUGAUUAUGGAAAGUUUUAUGCCUCGAAGGCGUUCUUCGAUAGUGUUAAAAAUCGGAGGAUCAACUGGGGAUGGGUCAUAGAGACUGAUAGCAAAGAAGAUGAUUUCAAGAAAGGAUGGGCUGGCCUUAUGGUAAAUAUAUAUAUAUUUUUUUUUGGUUUAACAUUAUGGUAAAUAUGAUAAACCUUAUGGUAAAUAUGAUAUAAGGUUUAUUUUAAGUAAUUGUAGAGUAGAGAUUACUUGUCAAGAAAUUGGAUUAAUUGGUUUGUUUUUGGCUUAGUCUCUUCCCAGGGAAAUGUGGCUGGACACAAAUGGAAAGAAGCUGAUACAAUGGCCAAUUGAAGAAAUCAACAAUCUCCGGACCAAAAGUGUUAGCCUUGAUUGCUAUGAAUUCGAAACCGGCUCGACCUUCGAAAUUUCAGGCAUCACUGCUGCCCAAGUAAGUUUUCUCAGAGUGUUUUGUUAGGACUUAGGAGUCCCAUAUUAUUAAAAAUAAAAUUUAAUGAAGUCAGAUAAAACUCUUGAGGUGGUAGUUUAUGUAUUUUUAAUAGAUCUGUAAAACCAGGUAAAUAUUUGGUAGAAUUCAUUCAUGAUAUAGUCACUAUAUGGAUUUUAGUAGUAAUAUUUAAAAAUCCAUUUAAAAUAACAAGGUUCAUCUUUGUAUUUGAGAUUUUACGUUUUUAACUUGAAAAAACUUUAAAACUUGUAUAAAUCUCAAAUAUCAGUAAUAUUAACACGUCUUCUCUGGAAUCAUUAGGCUAAUACUAUUUUGUUUCAACAACUUGUAUAUAUUUAUCUUUCUCUUGUUGUUGUUAAAGGCCGACGUAGAGGUGACUUUUAAUCUGCCUUUCCUGGACGAUUAUCCCGAGAUACUUGAUGCUGACCAAGUUGAUGAUGCGACUCUGUUUGAUCAUGACAACUCGGAUGGAUGUGUUUACGGGCCUUUUGGACUGCUAGCAUUGGCUACCAAUGAUUUAUCAGAACAAACCGCAAUCUUCUUUAAAGUUAUUCGUCGCGGAAACGGAUAUGCAGUUGUAAUGGGCAGCAGCGAGAAGAGGUAAUAAUGUGAAUUUGAUCUAACAACAUGAAACCAAAUGUUAGUUUCUCUAUCAUGUGUAAGUAUGAUGUUUUGUUUUAACAAAUGGUAAUAUAUACGUAGGUCUUCGUUGAGAGACAACAUAAAAAAAUCUUCGCAUGGAACAUUCCUAGAUAUUGAUCCAAGGCAUGAGAAGAUCUCAUUAAGAUGUUUGGUGAGCUAAAUUAAGCCAUUUUGCAAUGUUGUUUCUUUUAUAUAUAUUCACCCUAAUUAAGACAUUUUAUUUUAAACAAUUUAAACUCUGAAAACCACCUUUUUUGUUGUUGUUGUUGUCGUCGUCGUCGUCGUCUAUAGAUCGAUCACUCGAUUAUAGAGAGCUACGGAGCAGGAGGAAAAAGUGUGAUAACAUCUAGGGUUUAUCCAAAAUUGGCAAUUGGCGAAGCAGCUAAGCUGUAUGUGUUCAAUGAUGGAGAAAAGGGUGUGAUCAUGACGUCCCUGGAAGCUUGGAGCAUGAGAAAUGCCCAAAUCAAUUCAAACCCAACUUAUUAAUGAAUCAUAUAAUAUUGAUAAUAAUAAUCUUUGGACUGCCCUAAAGAUUUUUCUUAUCUUGUCAUGAACUGCUGAAUGUUUUAAGAUUUAUGCAUCUUUUGUAUUCAAGUUAUUGGUGUGGUUAUUGUCGUUUCUUUGGGUAAAAGAUUAGCCUUCUCAUGUUUCUUAUUGAAUUUGCACGAAUAAUAAUAAGCCUUCUCCUGUUCUAUCAAUAAGACUAGUGUGUCAUGAGUCCCAUAGUGUUUAGCAAUUGAUUCUCCUCCAGGGACAACCAAGAAUUUAUUUUAAUCGAUGAUCUAUAUAUCAAAAUUUAACAAGACUAAACUAUCAAAUAAUAAUUAUUAAAUUAAAAUAUCAAAUAUUGAUACAUUCUUUUACUCUAAUUUAUACAUCAAAUGGAUACCAUCAUAUAUAACAUUAGAGGGAGUGGUUUUCUGAUUGAUAUGAUUUCAGGACAAUGAAAUUGCUCUUCUUUUUUAAAAGACAAUCAAUUUUUCCAUCAACAAUUAUAAAGAGUAUAAAAUUGUUAGAAUUAUACUAAAAUAGUGUGGUCAGUUCACUAGUGGUGGCUGAGUGGUAUAUGAGCUCAGAUUUUUUAGGGACCGUCCAUGUUCAAGCACAAAACAUGACAGCCUUGUAGAGUUUAAGCAUUGUUAAGAAGAAAAAGAAAUAUCUGAACUUUGGAUCUCCAUUUUCUUUCAACAUUUUUAAGUAAAAAAUUAUGACAAAGCUUUUUUUUGGUUUCUUUACUGAGUUAGCAUGAUUCUGGGAAAUAUUUGCAAAAUUGAUGCCAUAGCAUUUUCGUAACUAAAUCCUAUAUUUUAUUGUAUUAAAUCCAUGCUAUUUUCUUUAUAAAAAAAACACAGAGAAUAAAAUACACAAUGAUUUAUGAAAAUUCCACCACGUCAUUUCUGCUCUUUUACUACAAUACCCUUGUUUUUUCCCCACUUUGUUCUUUUGUUUCGAGAUAUGUUUAAUGUUUUUAUUAUCUUAAAGAGAUUGUCAACUUGUUAUGAAAAUAGAUUUUGGGAUUUUAACCAGUGCCCUUUUUUAAAUUUGUGGUGGAGGUCUCUCAGCUGCAUUCAUUAAUCAUACACUUGUCUUUUCUGUAUCCUUUAAACUGUGGCCAUUGUAACUCACCUUCACUUAUGUUGCCUUUUAAUCAUUUCGCUUCUUUAGGUAUCUCUCUUUUUAAUCUUGUCGUUAUAUAUAAUAAUGUGUGUGCAUUACAUCAUUCAACUCUCAUUGGUUAUUGCUACUCUGCCUUUUCAAUAAUUAAAACAUAUAUCAAACUAUAGAUCAUGGGUUUAUACAAGUUGAUCCCCUUUUCUGUUUAAUUAUAUUUCUUCAUGCAUACUUUGAAUGGUGAUAUGCCGUUGCUGCGGUUAUGAGCAACACAACUGCAACGACCAAAUUUCGAAAAAAAAUAACAUAACAUAACUGCAUGAUUGAUUAUUUCAUAAAAAGUCCUUAUCAUAACUAUUUUACUAUAUAUUGUAACAAAAAGAAUAGAAUAAAUGAUAAUGAAAUCAUAAAAACUGUUGGUGUUUCAAAAGAGAAAAAUAACUUGUUUCCCCCAAAGGCUAACCAAGCCCCACCCCACCACUGAGGAGCUCCCUAGACAUAUUUUAUUUGCGUGAUGGGUAGGUAUGGAUCUACGGGUAGAUUUUUUGUUUUUGACAUGUGAAAGUGUUUUGCGGACAAAACUAAUAAUAUAUUUUUCUGACCAGAAAAUAAAUAUAAUGAUGUUUAAAAUUUUAGAUUAGCCCUAUAUCAUUUAAGAAAGCUCAGUAUUCGAAAAUUCAACGCAACGGAAAAAAUGAAAAGCAUAAGCAUCUUGACAAAAUUCGUCUAGCUAGGGUGAAUCGUGUUACCGAAAAGAGACAAUUCGAUUUGUAGGUUGAUAUCUCAAUUAGGCGAGCUAGUUGAGUGAUAACGGCAAAAUUUCAUAAAAGAUUCAAUACAUACUGUUUACAUAUGGGGUUGUGAAUUCUACAAUCAAAACUUUGGUAAAAUAAUAGUAUGAAGUGAUUGUGCAAUAAUUGCGAUUGACACCCUAAAGAUUCUUUGGGCCAAAAUCUCUUAAGAUACAAUAAAAAAUAAAAUAAAAUUCAGAUACCGAAAUUGUCCAAGAGAAAGAUAGCAGUCAGAUUCCGUGGUAAUCAACGGAUUCUAUUUACAUAUUAAUAAUAUAUAGUUUUUCAUAAUUUCGAGGUCAAUAUUUAUUAGAGACCGGUCAUCGAUGACAUAAUAUUGUACUUAAUGCCUCUUUUUCAUUUUGCCUCCCCAAUUUAAUCAAGAAAAUUACUCUUUAGAAAUAAAAUUAUAUUUGGACCCUGUCUAACAUCAGCACAUUAGUUUUUUCUCCUCACAUCGUUCAACAUAUAUAUAGUUCAAUACGGAAACUAAAGAAACGGAAAUCAUUCACAAAUAAAUAAUAUAAUUAUGAUGGAAUAAAUCUUACACGUGAUGAUCUAAACAACACUUACCAACUGGCAAAAGAUAUGAAAUAAACAACCAGCACUGGAUUAACAAAAAAAAAGGAAACAUUUUUAUGUUUCUAAGAAAGAGUGAAUUAAUGGAAUUUUUCACAAUGGAUAUUAUUUAUCAGAUUUUUUUUAAUUAGGUUAUAAAUAGGCUAACUUGGAAAGAAAGAAAAAAAUACAGAAAAUUACAAUUAUGCCAAUAAGGCUCCAACCUCAACGAGUCUAGGAAUAAGCUGACCACUUAGGUGAAGUGCUACAAGUGACUCGAAGCCACCGACACAAGCACCACCGAUGAAAAGCACCGGAGCGGCUUCAACGGCGAGGUAAGCAAUUUCACCGCCGUCGAUCUCGAUCACUGUUGGGUGAACUCCGACGGUCGAUAGAAGCUUCUUCAUGACGUGGCACAUGCAACAUGAGGAAGAUCGAGUGAAUAUGAUGACUGGAUGCUCUGAUAUCAGCCGUCCAAUCUUUGACUCUGAUGUCUCCUCUUCAUCGAACGAAAGGCUCGUCGAGGCGGUGGAGGAGGAGACUGUUGGUGGUGCUGGAGGAGGAGGAAGAACCGUCAGGUCUAGCGUUACGGCGUCGUUUGAGCAGUCUCGUAAACCUCGCAUCGUCUUCAUUAGAGAGAAAGAGUUAGAGAAAGUGAGAGAGAGAGAGAGUGGGAGUUUUGUUGAUGUCAACGCGAGAUGAGAGCGACCAUAAAUGGAGAAAUUGGGUGUCACUAUAAUGACGUAACCAUUAGCAAAUUAUUUAUUUUAUUUGUGUUUUUAAUAUAUAUAUUUUUUGUCACUUUAAAUUUGUUUUCGACAGAUUGGUCGCCUCUUAUUUAUGACAUAUACCUUGGUCUUUUUUUUGUUCAACCAUACAGAUUGGUCUAAAAUUCCAAAUUCUAAAUUAUAUAUAUAUAUAUAUAUAUAUAUAUAAAGUUGAUAUAUAAUGGUUAUUUGGCUUCUAAGAGUGGAAUACUAGAUAUUUUUAUUGGUAUUAUCUUAGAAAUUCAAAGAUUUGUUACAUUGUACAUGAAUAAAUUAAUAUCCAUCAAAUCAGCGGUUUUUAUUUCUUUUAUUAGAAUGUUCUGUAUAUGUGCCCUCACUCACAUAUACGAGACAUAUAUGUAAACAUUUUCUCAUGUAUGCAACGUAACCAUGCAUGUACCAUAUUACAACUACGUAUAUUAGUAUACUAUUACAGCUUGUUAGGUUAGAUAGAGUGUAAAUGGUAACAUCAAAAAAAAUAUUCAGCCAGAUUCAGCCAGAUUCAGCAAUUCCGUAGUUACCAUUUGUAUAAAACUAAAUUCAGCCAGAUUCAACAGUUUUUCCAACAUCAACAGAUACAUAGUAUGUUCAUUUCAGAUAAAAAUUUGGAUUAUAGCGAUUCACAACUCGAAUUAAAAUAUUUUGGCUAUUAAAAAUUACACAUCAAAUUUAUAUUUUAAAAUAAGUUAGAUCAUACAAAUACGAUAUAUGAAUAAUUCAUACACAUAAAAUCAUUACCAGAAUAGACAAGACACAUAUUUAUGUUCAGAUAUCUAUAAAUAUUUUUAGACAAUUUUAAUAAAUUUUAGAUACUUAAAUAUAAUUUUCCAAAUUUUUGCAAAAAUAACUCAUACUUAUGCUAAAAUAAUAUUUAAAAUAUCAAAUUAAAAAAAUUUUGUUAAUCAUCCUAAUCAUAUUAAGGAUUUAAACUACUAGAGAACAAUGAAAAAUCAAUAAGAUAAUCUAUAUUAUAUUAUCAUGUUUAUUUUUAAAUUAAUUUUUCAAUAAAACUUUGACAAAGCUUUCUAUUAAUUAAUUAUAUCUUUUUAAUAGUUCAAAAAUUAGAUUUGGAAGAACAACUCAAUUUUGCUAAAAAGAUAUUAAUUCUAGUAUUUAUUUAUUAGUAUAAGAGUUAAUUAGACUAUUAGAUAAUUUUAUCUAUUUUAUUUAGAUAAUUUUCCUUAGUUAUUCUAUUAAUAUUCGUAAUUAUUUGACGAUAUUUCAGUUAAAGUCUUAAUUAUUUCGACAGAUUCUGCUAAAAAACACAAAAAAAUUCAGCUGGAUUCAGCGGUUACCAUUUGAAAAUGUAAAAAUUCAGCCAGAUUCAGCUAAAAAUCACUAAAAAUUCAGCCAGAUUCAGUAAUUCAACCGGAUUCAGCCAGAUUUCUCGGUUACUAUUUAGACCCAUAGUAUGUAAAUUGAUAUAAAAGGAAUAAUAACCCAAACAUAAAAGAAACACAUUUUGGUUUGAGUUUUCCAUGAAAUCUGGCGUACGUGGUGGACGAGAUCCUCAAAAUAUUUCUAUAUAACUUGAUAUUUACGCUAUACGGCAGCAUCAUCGUUAAUCUUACGACUUCUUGCUGUUUAUUGUUUGAAUCCCAUGACGUUAAUAAUGCCUUUUCAAAUAAAAUGCUAAUAAGGACAAAAGACAAAAUUUGAAUAUGAUUCUACGGGUUCGUACGUUCUGCCUAUCUGGAAAAAAAAUGGUUAUAAUAUUUACUUCUAUAUUCAAAAUUUGGUUGGCACAUGUGCAAACAAGUUUUAGGGACCAUCUCCGUGGUUAAUUAAUAACAUCGUUUCAAUUAUUGUUUGAGCACAAAAACAAUAACUAUUCCGUUCUUAAACAAAUUAGAACAUUAUAAAAACUGCUAGUGCAAGUACAUGAACCCCAACGGCGGACCUAUGUUCAGCAAAGGUGGGUCAACUGACCCCCCUAAAAUUAUGAAAUCAGUCUUUAGUUCUAGCAAUUAUCACUAAUUGAUAACUUCAUUAGUUCCUUUUUGCACCCCCUAUUUAAAUUGUUUUCUUAUGCAUCCAUAAUGAGUUUUUUUGCACUCAUUAUUUUAUUCAUUUUAUAUCUAAUUACUUUGUUUAAUUUGUUGUUUUCCAAAAAAACAUCAUUCUUUAUGUAUUUUGAUUAAAAAAAAUCUAAAAUUUCAAAAAAAUACAAUUUUUAUUAAUACAUACAGAAAAUUAAUUAUGUAAUUUUCAUCUUCUUAACAAAGUUAACAAUAUUGACCCCGGUAAAAUAUAUUUCUAGGUCCGCCAAUUGAACCCCAACCUCUAAUUUAACGUUUACUUAAUACACAUUAUAUAUAUGCACGUUAUACAAGUUAUUAGAUGACAUUAUCUACGUAAUACCAUCAGUGCCGGCUCAACAGUAUUAUAGGCCCUAGGGCAAACAAAAAUUUAGGCCCUUAGAAUUUUUUUUUGUGUGUUCUUUGUGUUAUAUAAAAAAAUUGUAUGAUAUUUUUAUUAAAAAUUUAAUUAUUAAAACUAAAAACAAUAAUAAAAAAAUUAUGGACCCUUCUAAAUUUUAUUUUUAUGUUGUAAUUUAAAUUUUUAAUACUUUUAUAAAAAAAUUUUAUUUUUAUUUUGUCAUCAUUAACUUUGUUUUUUUAAUUUACAGACUUAUAGCUAAGUAAUUUGUAUUUUGUCAUCAUUAACUUGGUUUUCGAGAGAUUGGCUCUCAUUGUGAUAGGAGGUGGUAGAUGUUAUUUCUGGUUUGGCCGUGGGCAGCCGUGAUAAAUCGCAUUCGCUGGUGUUUCAGAAGAAGAGGUUUCUUUGUUCUCUUGGUUCUAUCCUUUCUCCUAAGGUUUCUACCUUGUUGCCUCGGCUUUUAGAUUAUGGAGUCUUCCUCCUUCGAUUCUGGUUUGUUUUUAUCUGCUUUGUAUUUCUAGUUUCGCCUUACUUUGCUUCCCUUUGAUAGGGCUUAGUUUUCGGGGAAUUUCGUUUCUUCUCCGACAGUGACUUCGGGGACUUUUAGUUUGUCCGCCGACUUAAGUUUUCCAUGUUUGGGCAUAUGUAUUCUUUCCUUGGUUCCACAACAAGUUUCUAUAAUAAAAUUUCAUAGCGACAAAAAAAAAAGCUAAGUAAUUUGUAUUUGAAAACAUUAGUAGAAAAGAGGGGAGUUUGAGACAAAAUUGGAGCGUGUAGCACACGCAAAUGAAGAGUGCACAUAUGAGAGAGUGGAAGAAUUAGAAGAGAAGGAAAAGGGGGGAGUGGUCACAUGGACGGACAUAUGGGGGCUAUAGUAAUAAAUGAUGCUGACGUAAUUUAUUUCUUUUAUCUCAGGGUAAAUUGGAGCCACUUGACGUCAUCAGAUAUCAGAUCAUCAGACCAUGUCCCAGCUAACGUCGACAACGGUAUCUUACCAAUAUAUAUUUUUAUUUAUUUAUAAUAAUAUAAAGGACAAAUCGAAGUUCUUACAUAUCAAAAAAAAUAUUGGUAAAGGACUUGAGAAAAUAAAAUUAGUGAUAAUUUGUCAAUGGCAUUUUAAUUUCUUUCCGUUAUUAGUGCGACUUUAACGAAGUUUGACAUGAGUGGCAAAUUCCAAUUGGCAAUGAACAAGUGAGAAUAUUCCCAAAGAAUAUGAACCAACCAAAUGUGAAUCUUUAAAAUUCAAACUUUUAAAUAGGCAUGGACUCAUUGUAGUGGAAGAUGCAGUAGAGCAGAUAAUAAUUUUUGGAAUCUCUUUAUUAGAACUACAUCUUUAUCUUAUUGAGAGUUUUUUUUUUUUUUUAAUAAUAAAGUCUAAUUAAUUACAAAAUUCAAUAAAGUCUAGUCCGUAUAUGACUAAUUGAAAGUCUCCAACCUGGCGAUAGGCAUUAAAACCGUGUUGGAGUGACAGAAGUCAAAACUACCUCAUUUAUUAAUUUUGCUAUUAGAAUGUCUUUUUAUAACUAAACAAUGAACAUGUUAAAGUUGCAGGUUCAAGGAAAAAUAAAGAGAUCAAAUAGCAAAACUAUAUUGUAUAAGAUUUCGUUCUUACAAAAUCAAUAUGGACUAUAACGUUAAUCUACACAUGUAAGAGUUCACUCUUAGGUUGGAUAGGUAGCUUCCUCCAUGUAAACAAGUUUUCUUUAUCUUUUCUCUUAACUUAUCGAUGUUGAUGCUUCAUUAUCUUCAUUAGUUUUAUAUAUAUGAAUAUAUGAGUAAUUUACCCUCUUGGGCUGAUUACGUUAGAUUUUUUUAAUGCUUGAAGGGUUAACCAUUGCAUUAAAGGGGUUAACCAUUGAUUAUACUCAUCGUUGAUUAUACUAAAAAGGUUGUUUCAUAAUAACUUAAAAAUAUUAAUUAAGUAAAAAUAUUUAUAGAAGAUAUUUAUAAUUAUUUUUAAAUAUAUGAUUUCGAUAUUUCAAAAUAGUUUUUUUGAGUUUAAUUUAAUAGUUAGUUUAAUAUAAUUUCGUUGAUAGAUGUUUUAAAAAAAUAAAAAAUUAGUUUACUAUGUUCUUUUAGUUCUAUAUUUUACACAAAUUUUAAAUCAUCUUUUCACGGUAAAGUAUACAUACAUUUCAAUUAAAUAAGUGUUUGCAAUAUUAGUUAACAAUAUUAUCUAUUUUUGUAGUUUAGUUAAUAUAUUAGAGUCUAAAUUUGUGUGAUAUUUUUAGAUAUAAUUUACAUUUUAAAUAAAACUAAUAUAUGUAGUUUAAGUAUUUAGAAACCAAAAGAAAUAGUAUUUCAAAAUUUUGGGGUUUUUUAGAUUUUAAAUAUUAAAAUAAAUUAAGAAUGGAAAAGUAUAUUUAUUUCAUAUAUUAACUAUAUUGAUUUUAUAUGAUUAAUUAUAUAUUAUUUGUGCCCUACACAUAUUAUUUUUUUGGAUCCGCCACUGAUGCUUGUGAUAUAUGAUAAUUUUUUAUAAACUACUAUGGUUUACUUAAGAUUAAACAAACACAUUAUUAUAUAAAAAAUUUAUAUGUACACGUAAAAUGGUAUGUUUAGCUAUUUAGCAUUCCGUGUUUUCAUUUUCCCAAAAAUAAAGCACUCCUCCCUCUUUCCUUUUCCUGCUUUUGUUUUAAUAGACUUUAGAUGUUAUAAUUAAGUUUAAUAUAGAUAUCGUAUUUCUGUUUUGGUGAGAAAGAAUAUUUUAUAAGUUUGACACGUCAUAUAUUCUUUUCUUUUUUUUUAAUAUAUAAUCAUGUUUUAAAAUAUACACAGUUUAUGAAAAAUGCAUAAGAAGCUUUAAUGGUUCGACAGAUUCAGAUCAUGACAUCAUGGACCAAUUUUUCUUCACAACGAAAAAAACUGUCAACGUCGGAUUGCGUCACGUUAAUGUCUUUUUUCCUUUAACGUCUGCGUCACGUUGGUGCUUUAGUUGAAUUAUUAUGCCCAUAUUCGCUAGUUGGUUCUUCUUUCUUAAUGGUGACCAGGAUUUUAUUUUCUUCUUUUUCUUACCAAUUUUGUUUCUAAUAACUGGAAUAGAUCUCCGGAAACUUACUCUUUUUUCAUAUACUCCUUUAGUUUCAAAAUGUAAGACGUUUUGAACUAUUAUUUUUAUUUUAAAAUAUAAGACGUUUAUAUAUUAAUUUAAUAUUUUCUGAUUAUUUAUAUUAUGCAAUUUUAUUCAUGAUUGGUUGAACUUUUUAAAAGUGUAUAUUUCUUAUAACUAAAAUGUUUUAUAUUUUAAAACGGAUGAAGUAGUAUAUAACUAUAUAUCACCGAAAUAUUAACCGUGUAUUACGCUUGUUACAACUUUUUACAAACCCAUAAUCUGACAGUUCAAACAAUAAAUUUGUGCUGCAAUUCAACCUUAAAAAAGCAGUAAGCAUUUGCUUAAAUCUAGAUUGGGUUAAAAUAUAAAACGGCAUCAGAAACUCAGAAAACUCUAUUAUUAAAUAAGGUAACGAUGAAAUAGAGAAUAUUAGAAAAUAUUAUUUUAAAUUAAGCAAAUACCAGAAGAGUAUUUAAGUUUUUUACAACCUAAUAAUGUCAACGUUAGCUAAGUAAGUCGUUUCAGAAGGUAACUGAUUAAUUAUGAGACAAAACGCUAGCCUGGCAUAAAUACGAGACCAUUCAUUAUGUAAAAUAUAUUCAAGAAAACGAAAAACUCUGAGACAUUGAUCUCUUGUAGAUUUUUCCCCUGCAGGGAAAAAUGAUGAGCUCUCAAGUCUCAUGGUGGGUUUUUUGGGUAAUCAGUGCUGUGUGUAUUCUCAACGUGGAGUUUAACAUUGUCGAAGGAGGAGCCUAUGAAGAGACUAAGGUAUAUUCUGUCACAAUUUUCUUAAUUAUUCAAUAAUGGAAACAAAAAAUAAAACGUUUAGGUAAAGGAAAGAUUAAUGUGCAUUACCAACACAUAUAUAGGUCCACAUAGUAUACCUUGGUGAAAAGGAGCAUAAUGAUCCUGAGCUUGUAACGGCCUCGCAUCUCAGAAUGUUAGAAUCCCUACUCGGAAGGUACCAACAAACCAAGAUUAGACAAGUAAAACAAUAUGUGUUUAGACAAAUAAAAUUAUUAGCAGUAACUAACAGAUUUUGUGGCCGUAUGGUUGCAGCAAAAAAGACGCUAGUGAGUCCAUAGUUCAUAGUUAUCGCCAUGGUUUCUCCGGCUUUGCUGCCCAUCUUACGGAUUCCCAAGCAAAAAAAAUCUCGGGUGUGUACAUAUAAAGAUGCAUUAUUAGAGAUAUAUGAAGCAAAUUAGAUCAAAGGUUAUUAAUGAUUCGAAUCUUCAUAACUAUGAAUAGAGCAUCCAGAUGUAGUUCAAGUAACGCCCAAUAGUUUCUAUGAGCUGCAAACGACAAGGACAUUUGAUUACUUGGGGCUUUCUCAAAGCACACCAAAAGGACUUCUUCAUAAAGCCAAGAUGGGCAAGGACAUCAUCAUCGGUGUCUUGGACUCGGGUCCGUUUUUUGAUAAUAAAUUUCCAUGGAGAUUUGCUCCAAAUUUAAGACAAUUGGACACAACUAGUAUAUAAAUGUACGUGUGUUUGUAGGUGUGUGGCCAGAGUCACAGUCGUUCAGUGACAAAGGCUUGGGGCCGAUCCCAAAACGUUGGAAAGGGAUGUGCGUGGACGGUGAAGAUUUCGACUCGAAGAAGCAUUGCAACAAGAAGUUGAUAGGAGCGAGGUAUUACAUGGAUAGUCUUUUCCGUAGGAACAAAACGGAUAGCCGAAUACCGGACACGGAAUACAUGUCCGCAAGGGAAGGCUUGCCUCAUGGGACACACGUGGCCUCCACAGCUGGGGGAUCCUUCGUCUCAAAUGUGAGUGACAACGGGUUUGGAGUGGGUACAAUAAGAGGUGGAGCCCCUAGUGCUCGUAUCGCGGUUUACAAAGUGUGUUGGCAACGAGUAGACGGCACAUGCGCAAGCGCAGACAUAAUCAAAGCGAUGGACGACGCCAUAGCGGAUGGAGUGGACUUGAUAACGAUCUCAAUAGGCAGGCCGAACCCUGUGCUGACUGAAGUUGACAUGUAUAAUCAAAUCUCGUAUGGAGCAUUCCAUGCAGUCGCCAAUGGCAUUCCCGUGCUCAGUGCGGGUGGAAACUUUGGGCCUGGGGCUUACACCGUCCAAAACAUAGCUCCAUGGAUCAUAACAGUGGCUGCCACCACUCUAGACCGGUGGUAUCCCACACCUUUGACACUAGGCAACAAUGUGACCUUAAUGGUAAACCAAACAAAAGAAAACUAGUGUCUGUGUACUUGAUUCUCUUUUGACAUUAAAUGCAUGUGACCUUCUAAUCUAUUACUAUGUAGGCACGGACCUCGUAUAAGGGCAAUGAGAUUCAAGGAGAUCUAGUGUACGUAUAUAGCGCAGACGAAAUGACGAGUGCGACAAAGGGAAAAGUGGUGCUAAGUUUCACGACUGGAAGUGAAGAAAGUCAGUCAGAUUAUGUACCUAAACUUUUAGAGGUCGAAGCUAAGGCUGUAAUUAUUGCCGGCAAAAGAGAUGAUAUUAUCAAAGUAUCCGAAGGUCUUCCCGUUAUCAUGGUAGACUAUGAACAUGGAUCUACCAUAUGGAAGUACAUAAGUAUCACUAGGUAAUUAUUAAAAACCACUGCUUAAUUUGACCUUUCUUAUUAUAUGAGUUGCAAUGUGUUUAAUAUUUUAAAUAACCACUUAAUUACAGAUCGCCUACCAUAAAAAUAAGUUCUGCCAUCGCGCUCAAUGGGCCGCUUGUAGCCACUAAGGUUGCUGAUUUCUCAGGGAGAGGACCCAAUUCCAUAUCUCCAUACGUUCUCAAGGUAAACUUAAUUUUUGUUUCCAUAUAAUGAUCAUAUAUACCCAAUUUAUAAAUGAUCAAAUAAUAAUGAUAAUGAAAAAACUCAAUUCUAUCGAUAUUUCUUUUGCAUCACAUAGCAACAUUACUUUUUUACAGCCCGAUGUAGCGGCUCCAGGUGUGGCCAUAGUGGCAGCUAGUACUCCAGAAGAUAUGGGUACUAACGAAGGAGUCGCUGCUCAGUCAGGAACUUCAAUGGCAACACCAGUAGUUGCUGGUUUAGUUGCACUACUUCGAGCUGUGCAUCCUGAUUGGUCUCCAGCCGCGCUUAAGUCAGCUCUCAUCACUACAGGUAAACUAACACUUUUCUUUUGUUGCACUACUUCGAGCUGUGCAUCUUGAUCUAGUUAGUUACUCAUUUUUAAUUGGUUAAGCUUCCACAACGGAUCCCUACGGAGAACCUAUCUUCUCAGAGGGAAUGACACGAAAACUAGCCGACCCAUUUGACUUCGGAGGAGGACUAGUGAACCCAAACAAAGCAGCCGACCCUGGUCUUGUCUACGACAUAGGUGCAGAAGACUAUAGGCUUUUUCUAUGUGCUUCCGAUUAUGACGAGAGACAAAUAACCAAAAUAUCAAAGACAAAUACGCCAUAUCGAUGUCCAAGUCCAAGGCCCUCUAUGCUUGAUCUUAAUUUGCCUUCCAUCACCAUUCCAUUCCUCAAGGAAGAUGUGACUCUCACUAGAACCGUCACCAACGUCGGACCCGUUGACUCUGUCUAUAAGCUCGUCGUUAGGCCUCCUUUGGGUGUCAAAAUCUCUGUCACACCCAAAACAUUGCUCUUUAACUCCAAUGUCAAGAAACUCAGCUUCAAGGUCAUUGUCUCCACAACUCACAAAUCCAAUUCGAUUUACUAUUUUGGGAGCUUGACUUGGACUGAUGGCUCUCACAAAGUCACUAUCCCAUUAUCUGUCAGGACACAAAUGUUGAUGUACUUCGACCAGUGAGUUUGCAUUUUCCCCAUUACCAUGUCUUACUUAACCUAGAGCGGUGGUGUGAAAAAAUUUCAAUAAUUGUGGGGAAUAACUUAUAUUUAAAAACCAUCCUUUACUGCCACAUAUUGUUUUCUUUUGUGUUUAAAAACGAAAACUUUGGUACUUAAAUCCCGAAUUAAAUAUGCCAACUUGAACGGAAAAAAAGCGUGGAAAUUUUCAUCAACCAAACUAAAUACUAAAUUUUUAAUUGUUUGGCCAAAUUAGACAUAAUUUAAUUGAAUAAAAUACAAUAUAUAUGGUGAAUUUCAUAGCAAACAAUGGCCAAAUUCAUAACCAAUUGCUACUAAAAUUUGUGUUGUUAUUUUAUAGUUAAUUAGCCACUUAUUGGCAAGUGGCAACAUACAUUUGAUAUUAUUAAUGUUUGGAUACAUUACAUUUUGUAUUAUAAACUAAUACAAUUUUGAAUUAUAUAUAAGAUUUUGGAUUUGCACAAAAAAUAGAUAUUGAAAAUUUAGGAAACGUACAGACAGAUGUUGAAAACUCUCACAAGUUCUUCAAAACUUUGCUAAGUUCUUAAAUACAUGGUACAGCGGGCAAAUGUACACAUAACAUUUGGAUAUAUAUACAUGGUACACAACAGCGAUCAAAUACUAUGAUAAACGAACGUCAAUUUAAUUUGAAAGUAUAAUGUUAAUAUCUUUCUUUUAUAAAUUGUUAAAAAGGAAUUACAAGAUUAAGUCAAAUACUUCUCACUAACUUCUUAUAAAGAAAAAGUUCUCCUGAUUUUUAAUUCAGGUUUCGUCUUUCACUUUGGUGUAUACUUCUCUACCAACCUAGGUUGGUUUUGUCUUUUCUUAGCCGGUUCCCGAUUUUUCUUUUAAAAUCAGAACCGAGUCUCUGUAAAAAGUUCUCUUUUCAUUUUUUUCUGUUUUCUCUUCCAUUCCCUCUUUGAUUUCAAUGGUGUGUUUUCAAAGUUUCUGAAAUCUUAGAUCCAAAUUAAAUUGCGGAAUGAAGUACUAGUGUUGUUUUUAAUUUAUAAAUCGUUAAAAAUGAAUUACAAGACUUAGCCAAGAUUCUUGGCUGAACAGACACAAAUAAAGUUACGAGUUUUACAAUAGUCGAUUUUUUUGUUCAUUCUAAAACAAUGCUUAAUACAAUUACACAAAAAAGAAAUUGGACUUCUAGGAACUUUAGGGAACGGGUAUAUAUAAUCGUCAUAUGAAACCUCUUCAUUCUUUACAUGCAUGUCAAUUUGAGGACUCUCAGCCACAUUAGAAGAAAGAAACUUCUGUGCUGAAUUAGAUUUCGCCAUAAUAUUUGAUACGCCUAUAAAAAAUAUCGAAUAAUGCAAUCAAUAUAAGAGCAUAAAAUCUGUGGGAUUUCUUAAAUUAUCUUACAAAUUUAACUUACGUAACCGAGAAUAAACUUACAUGAUAAAAAAAUAGUUAGAAAAAUGAGAAAUAAAACUUUCUUCAUUUGUUCUGAAUCUUCAAUGCUUUUAAUUUGUCUUUUUUUUUUUCGAGUUUUGGUUGUGAAGUCAUUAGGACUAGAUAGUAUCAUAUUUAUACGGUUUCUUAUUUAAGUUACAGAAGAGUUGCCGUUCUCAUCAACGCUUUUGUUAGAAAAUUUAGGUUAGAAAAUUAUACUCUAUUAAUUAAAAAUAAUAAUGUGAAAGUAAAAAGUAUUUAUUAUAUUUAUUAACUAGGAUCGGACCCGCGGUCCACUGCGGGAGAAUAUUGGUUUACAUACGUUACGUUUAAUAUUGUGUGUGUUUUUUAGUAGAACGAAUCGUGUAGUAUACUUAUAAAUAUUCAUAAUAACGAAUUGUAGAGAAAAUGUAAAAUUAUAAAUAUAACCAUCGUAUUAAUUAUGAUUUACAAAAUAGAAUUUUGUGUUUUAAAAUUCUAAAAUUAGACGAUUUAUGGGAAUUAGAGCAGUCAAAAUAGGUCAAAAACCGCGGGUCGAGCCCACAUCAUCUCACUAUGGGGCAGAUUUGGGAAAAUAUAUUAAAUCCGCAAAUAAGCGGGCCACAUGGAUUAAUUCGCAGUGGGUCAUAGGUUUAAUCGGUUUUCAUCCGCGGGUUAGCGGAUCAGCCCGCAUAUUAGUAUUUAUUGAUAAAAUUAUAAUUUAUUCAACAUGUGGUAAUUUAAACAAACUUUUAAUAGUAUUUUGAUUUAUUUAUUUAUUUUAGUAGUAUUUUAAAUUUUGGUUACUUUAAAAUUAUUUAAACAAAAUCCAUGGAUAAUCCCGCAAAUCCGCAUACAUUCGCAGGACGGGUUUGUAUUUCAUAUAUGCUACCCGCGGGUCGUGCAGACCGACUAACUACAAGUCAAAAUAUUUUUUGUCUAUCGCAAAACAGACUUAACGGGACGAAUCAACUCGCUUUGACAGUUCUAAUGGGAAUAUUAUUUAGUCAUACAAUAAAAUGAAGUUUAGACAUAGUAAAAAUAGAAUAUGUAUCUUAUUUGUUAGAUGAGAGAUUGAAAGAUGAAGUAUAAUGAUUAAAAAUUAAUUAUUAUUUUUCAUGAUUCACAAAAUUUAAUAAAUACUUAUCAUCUUGUUGAAUAAUUCUAAAAUCAUAUUCAAGAAAUCUUUAUAAAUUGAAAAUUAAACUUCUUUGGUAAGCUAUAGGUAUGAAAAUAUCAUAAUUUCGAUUUAAUCUAAUUAAACUAAAAUUAGUUACAUGGAUUUCAUAUCUAUUUAAUUUACACGACCAAAAUAAAAAUAUCUAUUUAAUUUACACGACUAAAAUAAAAAUAUCAAUUUAAUUUAUAAAACAGAUGGGUUAUUUGUGAUAAAUUUUCUAGAAAUCUUUAGAAGCAAGUAAAAUAUCUUUCAAUUAAUGAUAAUUGGCUAAAAUGAGCGAAAUUAAUGACAAAAACGUUGAUUGUUAUGGAAUUAGUCCCAAAAUAUACGAACAAAUUUAUUAUACGUAAUUAAUGUAUAAUAUUGUUUGGAAUAUGCUUUUAUUAUUAGUUACCAUAAGUACAAUCAGAUUUUAUUUGAUUUCCAUAAAUAUUUGAUUUUAUUUCGAUUUUUUAUUAUUAUUUCGAAUUUAUAUUUCAAAAAAUUUCAAAGAUCCGAUUUCAGAAUUUCGGGUCAAUUUUCUGAUUUUAACCCGACCCAUUUUCUUUUUUUUUUUUUUUUUUUUUGGUGAGUACGAGGGAGGCAAUGCCUCCCCUUUUAUUAAUUAAAAAGAAAAUCAAAUACAAACUUGGCGUGGAAUCGUAGUUCCACGCUCAUCGUCUAACAAAAUCGAGGAAACACAACUAGGCAUUAAAUCGAAUAAAUGAAAACCUAAAGGUAGAGAAAAAGCAUAGUUGGCUAACCCGUCCGCAAGACAGUUAGGUUUCCUAUACACAUGCGAAAUCCGGACUAUCCAGUCCCUUGAUAUGAAGCCAUGGCACAACCGUACCAGGAAUGACAAGGGGUGAGAGUCACCAAUCCCUGUUGUAAGAAAUCCAACCACCAUCUCUGAAUCCACCUCCAACUCCACACGAGGUGCCCGUCUCUCCCAUGCCAAAUAAAGCCCAUAAUAGACCCCCCAGAGCUCUGCCAUAGGAGCUGAACAAAUCCCAAUAUGAAGUGCAAAUCCCGCUUGCCAGGCUCCCAACUCGUCCCUUAUGACCCCUCCAGCCGCAGCCACACCCGAUCCAUUUUCAUUAGUACUUCUCUUUUAAUAGUAUAGAGAUUACCAACCAAUUGGUUGUUUUAAGAUGAAACGUACAGUUGAUCAAAAAAAGAAGAUGAAACGUACAUUAUUCACUGCAAGUUCCUUAUUUUUUAAAAAUACUAGAGGAAAUCCGGGCUACGCCCGGUGUACAUUUGAUAUUUGAUAUUUUUAAAUUGGUUAAUGUUGUUUUAAUUUUUAUUUAGUUUCUUUAGUGAAAAUGCGAAAAAGAUACUAUUAAUUGUUUAGUUUUACAUAUUUAUCAUUUCCACAUUAAUUUUCAUUUACAAAAUUAAGUAGAAGAAACUAAAAAUUAGUGUAUAUAGUAUUUUCAUUUAUCUCCCGUAAUUUAUUUUCCAUUUGUCUCUAAUCAUAUUAUUCCGUAGUUCUAUAUUUUAAUUUUAUCUUAUAUAUUAAUUAUUUUAUGGUUUCUAAGAUUAGAUUACUAUCAUAUUAGUCCAUAUAAUAAUAAUUUAGCUAAACACUAUUGAGAUGGUUUUCUAUGUCAAAUAAUCAUAAUAAUUUCGUAAUGCUAAGUUCUAGCGCGGGUUAUUUUUUUGUGUUUGUACUUUGUACUAUGUUGAUAGGAAUUAGAAGGUUAUUGCCUCGUCCAUUUUACCUGAGCUUUAAUUCACCGUGAAUAUACUACAAGUUAAAUGUAUUUUGCAUCUUGUUACCCAUCUCGCUCCUCCUGAAAAUGUUUUCGUUUCUUUGAUGACCCUUUGUCACCUUUACCAAUAGAUACUCAUCAAACUCAACCCCUCCCAUAAGAUCAUCUAACUUAGGUGAUUUAGUUCUCUUUAUCCACCAGCAUAAAAAACUCAUAAAUGCUCACAUACUACACAUCACAAUGCAAAAAUAGAACAAAAAUGUUAAACAAAUAAAGAUUUGGCAUCAAUGAUUAUGCAUAAUUCAAAUGCUUUAAACUCUAUGUUCCUAAUCAUUGAUAGUUUGUUCUUAACUAAAUGAAUAAAAAUGUAGUAAUUUUGCAGUGUUUUACUACUUGGCUGUCUCUUAUCUUUCAGCAGCACCUCUACUUCUUUUCUUUUGAAUCCUGAAAGAAACAAUUAUAUUGAUAAACAAUUGAUUUGUAUUAUUAGCAAGUUAAUCGAUGAUGUAGGUAGGGCCUAAUGAUUCACAUUUACAGCUUGGUGAAAAUAUAAUAUUAGCUCAUCAUAUUAAAGAUUCGAAUACGUAUGUGUCACUUUUAUUUUCGACAAUCUUUGUGACUUGCAAAGCAUUAUUCGUCUCCUUCAGAUUUUUCCAUGCUUAAGAAUCUGAAAAAGUUAAGUUCCACACAUGGCGACUCUUAUCUUUGUGAAAAUCUCCCUAAUUGACAAUAUUUUGCACUAAAAGAAUGAAAUUCUAGAAUUUCAAGAAUAACGAAGGUCUUUGGAAAUUACUUUUGGUUGCAAAUACGAAAACCUUACACAAUUCAGAAAGUGGAUCCAUACUGUAGUCAUCUUUGCUGCCGUUGACGUCCUUAAUAAAUCCUUGCAAGAUCUUCUUUCGCGUAGUCCUUUUAUUCCUGCAGAUAUAUUGUUCUAAUACCAUAAAUAAUCUGAAUUUUUGUUGGAAGAGAAAGUGGAACCAUACCGUAGUCGUCAUCGAUAAGCGUGACGAAUUAUAAACUGGAGAUGAACGCUAGGGUUCUGUGUGCAGCGGCGUUUCGAGGAUCGCAAGCCUUGUCGUUUUUCAUGCCUUGCGGGUGGACGGUGGUGAUAUAUCGAUCUAGAUCUCCCAUUAACGUGACUAUUCCCGACUGUUAGCCUUCAAAAUCAAAAGGGAGAAAAUAUUUCAAGUAAAUUUGUUACAUAGUUUUAGAGUUUACAAAGGAGAUUGAUUGUUAAAUACAGAGAAGUGAGAAGUCAAUACGGUAAUGAUAUGAGUUAAAAUGGAAGAUGCGAUUAAACGUGUGAAAGAGGAUGUGGGAAUGAUUUAUCUGUGAAUGUGGGAGUGCAAGUGACUCAAAACGGACUAACUCAAGGAGAGGGAGAAGAAAAGUUUUGGUUGCUCUUCAACGUGUCAUAGACUGAUUAGUGGUUCAUUGAAGAUGUCACAUGGUAACACGACGUUUUAGUUCAUGGGCUUUGAAAUGGGCCAUAAACUCAAUUCAUUUUCUAUCUCGUCUUCAAAUGUUUGUUGACGUGGCUUCCUCUUAGGUGAGUUUUGUUUUGCUGAUGUGGACACUCUUAGAAGCCUCAAUUAGUUCCUUUUAUUAGUAAGAGAUGUAUAUAUAGUUAGAUUUGUAACUUUAAUUGUGAGUUACUCUUAAUUUUAAUUUUAGUUUUAAUUAAAGUAAAUGAAUAUGCUUAUAAUUAAAUUAAAUGAAUAUGCUUAUAUGCAUGAAAAUCAUCUUACCCGUUAUCUAUACCACUUUGCCACCAAAUUUAUCUACUUCAACUAUUAUCUAAAAGUUGGCUAUCUUCAUAAAUAACUCAAAAUCAGACAUGUAACAAAAACAGGAAAAGGGCUAAAUGGAGUGUAAUAUUAAAGUGCAUCAAUAUUGUGUUCCUUGUCUUCUCAAUUUAUUUGCAUAUGUACUCUUUGUUUUUGUAGGGAUGGAAUUCAAUAUUUGAUGUUGUUUGUAACUCUCUUUGUUCCUAACCAUGGUUCUUAAAAUCGGCCUAAACGCCCGACUAGGCACUCAUGAGGGUCCAUGCACCGCGAUUUCUUUCUAUUCGGUGACGCAAAUCGGUGGACCGGUUCAGGUGGUCUUUUUGGUCAUAAUCGGUCUAGAUGGUGCAAUUAUUGGUUUAUAAUUUGGUUAAGUUAUAUUGAAUUUUGCCUCGCUAAAGAAAUGAAGAGAAAAAUAAGAAAAACUUGAAAAUAAAAAAGAAACUAAAAGAAAGUUUUUUAAAAAAAUAUAGCUUAUAGCUUAUUGGAGAUUGUUUGAGUUUGAAUUUGAGAUUAAAAUAUGAAAUCUUUAUUUUUCAGUGAUUUGUAAUUUUAAUUUAACUAAAUUAAUAAGUUUAGUAAUUUCGCUUGAAAUCAUCUUACCCGUUAUCAACCAUUUUGCCACCAAAUUCAUCUAUUUUAUCUAAGAGUUGGCUAUUUACAUAAAUAACUAGAUUUUAACUCGCGGUACACUGCGGGAUGAUUUAAUUUUAAAGUUAGUAUAAAAAUAUUUUGUAAAUUGUAUCUCCUUAUAACAUAUUUAUUUAUAUUAUAGUUUACAAUUGUUAUUAAGUAACAGUAUACCACGAGUCCACGAGAUAAUUAUUAAUAAACUGAGGAUUUAACCCGUAUUAAAGCGGUAUAUAAAUAUUGAUUCAAAUUUGUCCGCCAUAUAAAUCAUUUCCGAAAUAUAACCCGUUCCGUAAUUUCUUAACCCGUCCUGUGAUUUGUAUUAAAAAAAAAAAGGAUUAAAUCCGUAUUGAAGCGGCGGAUUAAUGAUAUUUUAAUCUUUUUAUUAUUGUUGAUUCAAAAACCCGUCCCGCCAAACCCAUCCCGCCAAAAAACUCAUUUAUUUUAUUAAUGUUCUUAUUUAUGAUAUGAUUCUGAAUCAUUGUCUAAAUAUUUUAAUCGAUGUAGAACGUUGAACACACAUUUUUGUCAAUUGGAUAAUAUAUGUUCGUUUUUAAAAUUUCGAAUCACAGUAUAUGCAGAAAAAAAAUUGAUUUUUUUUACUUUAUAUAUUAUAUGAUGAUUCAAAACAGUUAAAAACAAAUCAAACAAAGAUGAUAGGAGAAUCAUAAUUAUAAAUCUUAAUCAAAUCUUCUAAAAAUCUAAAUUAUUAAAUAUGGAAUAUCCGGUGUAUGAGUUGGGUUAAAUAUAACCCGACCCAACAAAUUUUUUAUGAAGGAAUUUUUAAAAUGGGUCGGAUAUCCGAUAUACCCGAAAGUUUUUUUACCCACCCGUCACAAAAAGUGUUGCGAUUAUACUAGUAUAGACUCAUAAACUAGACAUACAUGUCUUUAGCCACAAAGACCGUUAUCUAAUUAUAAUAACAACCAAGGUCGACACUUUCUUAGUGACCCUAACUAUAAGUAAAACAAUCUAAGAUUGUUCAAUCAUUUGAUAUCAAGAAUCAAGAACCAAUUCAGCAGGUUAGGAGAUAGAGAGAGAUAUAAAAUAAAAACCUAGCUGCAUGAUUCUUUCUCUGUCAGUAGCUUAGAUGCGGUUGCACAUUUCCGUGUGGAUGACCCCACCCGUACGUUUUCAGUUUAUCCAGCCCCGGCAUCUGGACAAGGUUAAAACAAUUUGUGAGGUGGUAUUAUUGCAACACGGAAAACUCUAAUAAACCUGGAGUUCUUUCUAACAUGAUACAGUUGCUCACGUAGAACGAGCUCAACCUUUUUUGUCAACAGAUCUAGCAUGGAUUGAUUUAGUCCCUAAGCGACCAUCCACUCUGAUGGUGAUCUGUAGACUUGGAAGACAAGCAAAAUCCGUUCGUUAAUCUUUGAAGUUGUUGUCUCCUAGAUCAAUUUCCUUAGAGACAAUGGAAUCAAUUCAUCAAAUAGAUUGCAAGAACAUAAACGUGAAGUCUUCAAGCAGCUUAAACCGUUUAAUGAGAAUGUAAGAGAUAGAUCAACAAGAGAACUUUCUGUCUUUCCAUAAACUUUUUUCUGCCAUAAAGAGACAAUUCUUUCAGUUGAUUACUCUGAGACGGAUAUGCCUUAGAGUGGUAGAAUCGGCUUUAAGAGUUGUCAAGGAUUCCAAUUCACCUAAAGCAUCGAUAUCUCUAGCUGAAUAAAAAAAUAAAGUUAAAAUUCAGGAGGACCAAUAGAGAGUUAACUUCAAAACCUUAUUUUCUUAUAAUAGAUAGAUGUCUUUUCCACAUAACGACUUAGGUUAAUAAGAUAUUUUUUUCAGAACUCAAUGGAAAUACAUGGGGCUUUGUUUCCUGACAGAUAACGGAAUAGAUACGACGUGAUAGCCAUCGGUCCAUGUUAUACUCCCAAAGUAGUAGAUGGAAUUGCUCUGGUGAGUAGUGGAGACUGUAACUUCAAAGCUCAGCUUCUUGACAAAGCAGUUGAAAACCAGUAGGGUGGGCGUGACGGUGAUCUCGACACCCAAAGGAGCUUGAAUGAUGACUCUAUAUAUAGAAUCGACUGGUCCAACGUUGGUGACGGUUCUAGUGACCGUCACGUCUGCAUUGAGGAAAGGGAUGGUGAUGGACGGGAGGUUAAGAGCAAGCAUCGAUGGCCUAGGGCUAGGACAAUGAUACAUCAUACUUUUCUUUGCCAUUUUCCCGAUGGAGGCCUCCUCAUACCCGGCAGCACAUAAAUAUCCCAUGUAGUCUUCUGCGUAUGCGUCGUACACGAGACCAGGAUCAGCUGCUUUGGUUGGAUUCCCCAAUCCUCCUCCGUAGUCAAACGGAUCGGCUAGUUUCCGGCUGUCUCCUUCCGUGAAGAUCGGUUCUCCGUAAGGAUCAGUUUUGGAAGCUUAAUCAAUUGAGAAGAAGAAACUCAUUAGAUCACUAUGUAUUUACAUGUAACAUAAUCAAUUUUAAAGAAUCCCUUAAUAUUACCAGUAGUAACGAGAGCAGAAUGAAUAGCCGCAGGAGACCAGUCACUAUGAACAGCUUUGAGGAGCGCAACCACACCGGUAACCACAGGAGCGGACAUCGACGUUCCAGACAGAGCAAUGAAACCAUUCUCGGCGCCUUCUAUAAAUGGGAUGCUAGCAGCCAAGAUAUCUACACCUGGAGCUGCUAUAUCAGGCUGCAAAUAUUACGUUGGUAUAUAUGAGUUGAUGAAUAUAUACAUAUAGAAUUGGGUGUAUAUGUUUUAGAAACACAGAUUAAGUUGUUACCUUCAGAAUGUAAGGAGACAGAGAGUUUGGUCCUCUACUUGAGAACUCAGCGACUUGAGUUGCUACAAGUGGACCAGUGAGUCUUAUUUCAGUGCUUAUCUUAAUGGUUGGCAAGCUGUGAUUCCAAAAACAUUAAGCAAUGUUAACUUCACAUGCAAACUAGAGAUUAUAGAUAAAUAAUAAGUACGUAUACCUAUUGGAACCUAUGUACUUCAUCAUCGUAGUUCCCUCUUCAUAGUCGAUCAUGAAUAACACCAGUUCACGUUUGUCAUAUCCGAUAACAUCAAUGCUUUUGGAGGAAAUGAUUAGAGCUGACAAUCCCGCUAUCAAAGCCCGAUCGACAAAUUCUCCAACAAAAUAUUCACUCUCAGUCAAGAAAGCUAGGACGGCUUUGCCCUUGGCGGCACUCGUUAUCUGGUUGUAGCUUACUACGUAAAUUAGAUCAGCUUGGAAUUCAUGUCCCUUGUACUGGUUUCUUGCCUACAAAGUAAAAUAUUGUAUUAGAAGAGAUCACAUGCUCAUGUUGUUGUUAAAGAAGAUUCAACUACGUACACAAAGACAAAGAGUUAUGUUUUACCAAUAUAGUUAUGUUGUUGCCUAGUACCAGUGGGGUAGGAAACGACCGGUCGAGAGUUGUGGCUGAGACAGUAAUUACCCACGGAGGUACGUUACUGACUGUGUAAGCUUGGGGGCCGUCGUUUCCGCCGGCACAGAUCACCGGAAUGCCUUUUGAGAUGGCAUGGAAUGCCCCGUAAGAGAUCGCAUUAUGCUCGUUGGAUUCAGGGAGUAUAGGGACGGACCUGCCUAGUGAGAGCGACAUCACGUCCACCCCGUCCUCUAUCGCAUCGUCCAUGGCUUUUAUAAUGUCCAUAGCCGCGCAGCUAUUUUGAUUUUGCCAGCAAACUUUAUAAACAGCUAUUCGAGCACUUGGCGCCCCGCCUCUUGCCGCGCCCACUCCGAACCAUUUGUUGCUCACAUUAGCGACGAAUGCACCUCCAGCUGUGGAGGCCACGUGUGUCCCGUGACAUUCACUAUCCCUUGGUGACAUGUAUUCCUUGGCCUCCGAUUUUGUGGUCUCCUUCUUGUUCAGUUUGGAAACCGUCGUAAUAACGUGUGACGUUUAAGUAUUUUGACAUUACUUUAACAAAAGACGUUUAUUUCUAUGUCUAAUAUUGACUCUGUUUAAGUAAGUUUAGAGAGUGUUUUAUGUGACACAAAAAUCAAAAUCUCUUUUUUUUGCACAACCGAUGUAAACUGAUGCAAAUUAUUUGCUUUCAAAAUAUUGUAAGUCAGUUUUGAUUGUGACGUUCAUUAUUCGACGUGUACCAGCGUUUAUCUUGUAGUUCUUGAAGUCUACAAUAAUUAUAAAAACAUGGAAUAAAGGGGUUAUUGGUUCAUGGAUUUAUAAGGAAUUAAAAAUUCAAACAAAAAUCAUUUGUUAUUCAAUCAUUGAUUUUAAAAUCCUAAUUAAAAUCAUGUGUUAUUGGUUCUAUGAUUUAUAAAUACUAGUUAAAUUCCUAUAUUAUUGGUUUAGUAAUUUGUUUUUGGAUUUGAGAAUCCAAAUUAUGUUUUAAAUGGAUUUGUAUGGAAUUGAAAGAGAAAAAUAGAAGGAUUCAAAUCCAUGAGUAAACACAUGUUAUUUCAAAAUCUAUAUAUCUUGAUUUCAUAAUUAAUAGAGAUUUCCAAAUUCUAUAUGGAUUUACAAAUUAAUAAACCAAUAACAUCCCCUAAGACUCUGCUCUGCAAUUGACGCUGCUAAUGCAACUGCAAAAAAGGAGAAUUUAACUCAGCAAAGAGAGAGAAUUUAAAUCAACAAAGAGAGAGAUAUAACCAAGUGUUCUUAGUCUAGUGGUUGCCACUUGUGGAGGAGUUGCCCUGUUGGUCUAGGCCAGAGAUCGAUUCUCCGCAAGCGCGCAAUUGCUAGAUCUCCACUUGGCCACAUGGAUAUGGGCCCUUGCUUUCGGCCCAUUUGCAUACCCGGAGAGAGAGUCUAUCUGUAGGCUGCACCUCCCCCAGGGGAUUAGUCUGGGCCCCUCCAUAGGUCUGAGAUUCCUCUGAGUUAUAAAAAAAAAAAAACAAAGAGAGAGGGUAAAAUGAUUAAAAGAAAAAAACGGGAAUAGAAUAAAUUUAUAUCAUAAAUUCUAACUACCAGUUGUUACGUAAUUUCCUCUUUUGGAAAUUCUGAACUCAAUUCCAUCUUUUGCUUUAUUUAUUUUUAUUUGAUAUCACUACAAAUAUUUAUAAACUUCGAGGAUAAAGUGGUUGUUUUAGAAAGAAAAAUAAUCUAGGUAAAUUAUAUUUUUCAGGAUUUUAUGUUUAUGCAUUGGUGUUCAUUAAUUUGUAAAUAUAAUCCUGUUCGUAAAAGACUACUGUUAAUUUUAUGGUAUAAAAAAAUUGUUCAAUUUCCCAACACCAAAAUAUUAUUUUUUUGGUGUUCAUUAAUUAUUGGCUGUAAUCAUGAUUGUAAGCUAACAUUGUAAAAUUUCUGUAAAAAUUUAGUCAUGAAAUAUUAACGUCCAAAAAUUUCUGUAGGAAUUAUGUUUCAAUAGUUACCUGAAUGCUGAUAUCAGCAUAUUUCCUUUUACCCAACGUUAUUUUUGGGUGUUGAUACACACAAGUAAAGCGAAAAAAGCUUGAUUUUAUUUGUUGUCUUGCUGUCUCUUUCAAGAAAUUCAACUUGAAGUUGCACCAUCAUUACACAUCUAUCGUUAGAUUAGAGGUUCGGAGAUAGAUAGGGUGGACGAAUAGAUGACUUCUUUAGUGUAAAAAUAAAAAAGAGAAAAAAGAAAGAGGUUCAAAUUAAGGAGAGGUCAGAGUAGACAUGCUCAUAUUCUUGGCCUGUCAUUAUUUCAUCAAAAUUCAAAUUAAGGAGAGGUCAGAGUAGACAUGCUCAUAUUCUUGGCCUGUCAUUAUUUCAUCAAAAUUCAUUAUAAUUUGCUCUUUUUAUCAUUUAAUUUGUUCAUUAUAAUUUCCGGUUGUCCCAAACAAAAAAAGUCCAUUAUAAUUUCCUAAUUUACUAACAUUUCCCUUCAUCUUGUUUCAAUGUACAUCCCUUUUAUGGUUACUUGUUCUGCUACGCAUGAUAGAUACGCCUUCACAAUCCAAAGUCAAAUAGGAGAGUUACCAUUUUUAACAUUUUAAUUAUAUAUUUCGUUACUUUACUUUCAUUUUUUAUAACUGCACUAAAGUCAUAAAACUUAGUUUGUAUAAAGUUAUAAACUUAACCCAAACAUGCACCAAUUAUAUUUACAACAUUCCUAAAUUUAAAAUUAUUGAUAAAAAUCAUAGAAGCUUAGUAUUUUUGAAAGCUCAUCAUAAAGAAGAGCUGAAAUUAAAAAUAAAGUUUUACCAAAAAAUUAAAUUAAGUUAAUUACAACAGUUAGGUUGUAAUCAAGAUGAUUAAAAAUUAUAUUUUGUUUAGACGGUGUUAUCAUUCGUAAAAUAAUGUAUUAUUACAAAUGAAAAUUUUGAUAUUUAUAUACUAUUAAGAAAAAUUCCAAUAAUCCCUACAAAUAAAAAACAAAACUUCCAAACAAUUUUUUGGAUACCCGUGAAGUUGGGCCGCAGCCCAUUCGUCUCUACGUGUCAAAAUGAAGUGAUUUUUUUUUUCCUUCUUAAUAAAUGAAGUGAAGUGAAUUUCGAUGAUAUGAUAUUAUGAUUGUUUAUUAUGAGUAUCUUAAAUUUGGAGAAACUUAACCCAAUUGUUUUUUAACUAAUAUUUAAAUAAUAUAUAUAUAUUUUAUUAUUUAUUAAGAAUCAUGUUUAGAAACCCCUAUUAAGAAUGAUCUAAUUGCCGUAUUGAUUGAUGGUUUCUUACGUGUUAGUCUACUGAGAGGGAAAUGGCCAUUAUGAUUGAGCGAUCCGUUGCUCAUGUCUUUUUAAAUGGUCCAAGUGAUAAGUAACCUUUAUACUAAGGCCACUUUAUACGAAACCAAAACGAAGGAUGCAUCCGGUAUUUAGAUUAUUGUUGAUUUUGCUUUUUUUUUUACCAAAAUCUUUUGAAAAUCCCAUUUUUACAAAAAAAUUAUUGAUUUGUCAUUUUUUAACACUUAAAAAUGUAAGUAUUUACGAUUUUUUUUUACAAAAAUACGUACUUUAUACCAAAUACUAAACCCUAAGAACAAAUGGAACCGACUAAACCCAAACAUAACGGAUAAAACGCAUGUUAAAUCACUCUGAAAAAUGGCAAAAUCCACAAACUAUUAAAAAAGGGCAAAAUCUACAAAUGCCAUUAAAAAAAUGGCAAAUCCGUAAUUGAUUCUCCGGUAUUUGGAAUUGGAGUGUUCCAAAAAAUUUGAAUUAAGGAUUAUUGUACACUUCGAACUUACCAAGAUUUGUAAUUUGAAGCUCAUGUUAUGCAGUCCUAAACGUUUUAUUUAAACUUAAAGCUUUAGGGGGUGUAUUCAACUUAGUAUUUUAGAAGAUUUUUGGGUAUUUUUAAAGUCACGUGUUAUUGAACUGGAUAUUUUUAAAAUAAUUCUUAAAUCUUCUGUUAUUGAACUUGAUAUUUAUAUAAAGUCACUCAAAAUAAUUCACAAUCUCUUGUUAUUCAACCAACAAUUUGUAAAUAUCAAAUCAAAUAUACUGUUAUUGAAAAUUUCACUAUUUUUUCAUAAACGAUUACUAAAACUGAUUUUAGGAGACUUUAUACACUUUUUUAGUUGAAAAAUAUGACUGCAAAAUCACAUCUCUAUAGGUGAAACUUUGAAAGACUUCCAAGAAAAACAAUUGUAUCGAGAAAAAAGUAGAGCUAUUGACCAAAUUUAUUUUCACUCUAUUGACACCUCUCGAAGUGAUAGUUUUCCAUCUCUUGUCUUCUUCCAUUGAACUUGCAGUUCCAGGAACAAUCGCAUAGAUAAUUGAAGGAUUUCGCGUCGCGUCGCUCCUUGUCACUCUCUCCAAUUGCUAUCUGCCAAAAUCCUUUGAUUAUUUUUGGAUUUCUCUUGAAAUCUUUCGAGAGUUCAGAUGUCGUUGAAAUCACAACUAGCUAGUUCUGUCAUCACACUCUCUUCUCUGCAUUCUCUAAAUAACAAAGAAAAGGCUUCUUCUUGUGUCUUCUCUGGUGUUCUUAUUUACAGAACUGGGUUUUGAUGCUUCUUCGGUGUGUUAUUAAAAAAACCAGUUUUGGGAUUAUAUGAUUGCUAGUGUUCUGUUUUUGUUAGUCUUUUUGAGUAACGAGCUCUUACUUUCUCUUUUAUGUUAAUUUCCUAUGCUUUUUUUUUUUGUAUGGCAUGGCAAAUCUUAGCCAGGUAGCCCCAUUAGACUCUUGUGAACUCUUACCGUUGUGUUUCAUGUGCUAUUAAAUAAGGGCAUUCUGCCUAAUCUCCUGCAGGUGUUAGGUUCUAUGAUACCAAUGAGGAGGAGCCUCUGUUAAGUUCUAUGAUGUCUUUACAAAUUCGAGUCCAUGCCAUUAACUUGCAUGCUUUACUAAAAAUUUGGGUGGGAAAUUGAUCAGUAUGAUUCUCUUUGCAGCCACAUGCAUGUUGAUUUUAGAUUGAAAUUGCAUGGUGGAGAUCUCAUGAAGAGAGUUGCUAGCGCUGAUCCACGGGCUGCACCAUUAAAAUAAGGCUCAAGACCUCAAAGACAUACACAAAAAGGCAACAGACAUGUAAAAUCAACAGUCCCAAGCGUACUUCUCAUCAAUCAAAUCCUCUUUUACUCCAGAACGAUAACAACAUCGAACAUGAAAAAUUACUUGCUUAGAGAAUCACAACCUCGGUGUAUUAAAAUCCCAGCUUUCUUGUUCUUUUUUGGUGUUGAGUUCUGUUACUUUCAUAUACUGUUUCUUUUGGAUUUACAAAAUCCUCACCUAUCCUUAUAGGAACAUCUGUAACUUUUUCAUAUAUUAUCUCUUGAAAUAAGUUCGUAGUUAUUUUAUCACUUUUGCUUUGCAGAAUAUAUAAAGCAAUGAAUGAGAAGAAGUCUACAAGAGGCUUCAUGAGUCAAACAAUUGAGGAAGUCCAUGAAGAUACUCUCUUUUCCUAUGUGCACUUCCCCUUCACAUGUUCUCGUAAGAGAUAAACGUAUAAACAAUAAACUUGAGAAAAGCUUUGUCUCCUCUUUUUUAUGUCUCCUCUAAUUGCAGGUUUUCAUUGAUGGGAGAAUACAUAUGCUGAAUUCGUAUAAUUGAGUCAUGUACUCUUCUUUGCUCGUUGAGCUAUUUCGUGUUUGUGUUUUGUCAUUGUGAGAAAAGGGGCUAGAGCCAAAUUUUCUUUUGUUUGUUCUAAAAUCACCCAAAGUUUGAUAAUAAAAUCUCACCAAAUCACAAAUCAUUAUUCUUUUUUUACAUUUAAAAACUCUAAUAAAUAAUCAAAUUCCCUAAAAACUCACUCAAAUUUCUCAAAAAUCUAAAAUAUUCAAAUUCCACCAAAUCUCCUAAAGUAUCAAGUCGAAUACACCCCCCUAAAUCACUUUCGAGUUCUACCGAUUUCUUUUACAAAAUAUACUAGUUUAUUACUCCCUCUGUUUCAAAAUAUAAGGCGUUUUAGCUAAAAACACGCCGAUUAAGAAGAUCUACUUUAUCAAAGUUCAGCAAAUUAUAAAAGAGACUGCAUAAUAGAAAUAAUCAUAAAAUAUUAAAGUAAUAUAUAAUUGAUAAAUUGUUAAAAAUGCCCUUUUCUCAAUACCCCUUUUCAAAAAUGCCCCCUUUGAGAGUCCAUUUUUAAGUUUGCCCUCUUUUAAUUUUUAAUGACCAUUUUACCCUUAUUUGAAACAAAAUUAGGUCAACAAAAUACAAAAUAUUUUUUGGCGGGAAAAGUGAUCCCGCAAUUUUCCCGCCAAAACACUUGUAAAAACCUUGUAAAUUUUUCCUGCCAAAAAUUUUUUUUUGCGGGAAAAGUGAUUCCGCAAUUUUUUUGGCGGGAAAAAUUUACAAAGUAUUUUAAAGGUUUUACGGAGUAUUUACAAGUGUUUUGUAAGGUUUUACAAUGUAUUUUAAAAGGUUUUAUAAGAUAUUUAUAACUUGUAAAACCUUAUAAAAAACUUGUAAAACCUUAUAAAAUAGCUUGUAAAAUCUUAUAAUAUCUUAUAAAUACCUUAUAAAUACGUUGUAAANNNNNNNNNNNNNNNNNNNNNNNNNNNNNNNNNNNNNNNNNNNNNNNNNNNNNNNNNNNNNNNNNNNNNNNNNNNNNNNNNNNNNNNNNNNNNNNNNNNNCAAAUUAAAUAGUGGAUCGCUCUUUCUACAGGAAAACGAUCCUACAUCUCUAAAUGGAUAUUCUAAAACGCAACCGGCUGAAAAUACCUCUUUAUAAGCCCCAUUAAAUUUGUCCAUUUAUUAAAGGGUACGGAAAUUUUUACCAAGUAUUUUAAAGACUCUUCAAGUUUUUAAAAGUGUUUUGGCGGGAAAAAUUGCGGGAUCACUUUUCCGGCCAAAAAAUAUUUUGUAUUUUGUGGACCUAAUUUUAUUAUAUUUCCUUAUAUAUUUGUGAUAUCUUUUAUUAAAAGAAGAGUAAUUUAGUCAUUUUGUACAUAAAAAGGGUAUUUUAAAAAAUGGACAGCCAAAAUGGGCAUUUUUGAAAAGGAUAUUGAAAAAGGUGCAUUUUUGUGAAUCUCCCUAUAUAAUUUGCAUAGAAACUUGAAAACGACUUAUAUUUUGAAACAAAAAAAGUUUUUCCAAAACUCUGUAUAAGAAAGACAUGUUAUAAAUGCUGACUUUUUGAGUUCAUAAAUUUUCAAGGCUCAAUCGAGCGGAAUACAGGUACAGAGAGGACAAUCAAUUUUGGGUAAGCCAUGUUGGGAACAUCAAAUUGUCUUGGAAAAUAAAUUCAAAUAUUAAAAGGUUAAUGUCUUUUUCUAUGUAAGAUCAUCAUCAUCCAUUUUUUUUCUUUUUCUUCUGAGUGCAAUAAUGAAAUAAUUGCAAUAGAAAUGAAUCAUUCAUGUUACUUCUCUAUUUUUAUAUCGCAAAGAAAUCCCAUCGAAUUUUAGAUACAAAACAGACAAACAUUAAUAAAACAGACAAACAUUAAAUAAAGAUAUAGCCUUAUUGGUGCAUGCAUUUGCGUGCUUGCAAUGAUAAUGUAUUCAAAAUUGCCCCGGUCAAUUGUAAAUUUGUAAUGAAGACUUGUAUGAUAUAAUACUCUUUCCGUUUCGUUUUAGUUGUCGUUUAAGGUUUUUUCACACAAAUUAAGAAAAUCAUUAAAUUUUCUGUUUUACCCUUUAUUAAUAUAUUUUAUAAAAAAAUUUAUUGGCCGAAACAUUAAAAUAGUAGAGAUAAAACUAGAAUUUUCACCAAACAUUUGCAUCGAAAUCCUAAAACGACAACUAUUAUGAAACAAAAAUUUAACUCUAAAACGACAAGUAAAACGAAACGGAGAGAGUAUUAUUGUAGAUAUCUAUGCUUAUUUAUUUAUGUUAGCAUGUUUAAAGAAUGAUAAACCUACAAAGUACAAACUCUUGGUAAGAAAGAAAAUUAUUAAGUUCGAAAAGAAGAAGAAGAAGCUGGUAGCUGAAUGCAUAAAACAAUUAAGUUUAGGCCGCCAGUGACUUUAGUCUUCAUUAAAAGUGUGAAUACUUAGGUUAUGUCACGCAUGACUCAUGGAGUGAAAAAACAAAUACGGGAAACCUGCUACUAACUUCUUUCUUUCUUUUUUUUUUUUGUUUGCCAAAAAUACAAAAUUAAAUCUGAAUGGUGAGAUAACAACCUAACCUUGGUUCAAUAAAUCAAGAAUAGAUCAAGGUAGUGCCGUUUGAUUAAUUGCCGUGGCCAUUAAAUAAUACCCUCUUUUGAUUUGAAUAAGAAAUAAAACACGUUAAUGAACUUGAUAUUUAUAAUUAUAUUUUUAAAAAACAUGAAACUUAUAUAUAUUAUUACAUAUUCGUUGACAACACAAAAUUUGGAUAUAAAAGUACAAAAGAGACAGAUUGGCGUUGGACGAGGGAAGGAGCUGUGGGAGGCUCAUGUGGGCUUCUUCUGUUCGCCAUAUAACUAAUUUCGAUUUUUUAUUUUUUUUUUUUUUUUUUUUUUUUUUUUUUUUUUUUUUAACAUAUUAAUUUUUACCCAAAUAGGCUUAAACGAUGAUGGGCUUACACGGCCAAUCGGCCCACAAAAAGGAGAAGAAUAAGUCAACACGACCUAGAUCGGAGAUCUGAAAAAGGGUGGAAUCCGGCAGCACCAGCACCACCUCCAAGCUCCGGCGAUAACAAGAGGCCCUUCGUUGUUGCUCCAACCCGACACGAGCGACAUGACAGGAGUUAUCGAUUUUCGUGUAUACGUAUGCAAAUUUGUCACCUAUAAAGUCAUACAGUGAAUCCUACAAAAUUAAAAGUGUUCAGAUAAUUUGGUUGAGUAUGUAAUGGAACAUUUGAGGGAACUUGGAUUCUAUGAAAAUUGUUUAGUGGUUUUCAAAAACUAUUUCAAGUUCUCCAUUUUUCAGUUAUACUGUAUGUUAUAGAAUUUUCACCCUUCUUUUUAAACAUGUUACAACACCGAAUCUAACAUCUUUCUAGUAACUAAACGUAUCAAUUUAAUUACGAGUUUUGAUUCUAGUAUUAACUUUAAUUGGUAAUCAUUAAUUUUUUUUACUUGAGGAAAAAACAUGUAAAUACGCUAAAACAAUUAUUUACGUGAAAAUUGUUCGGUAAAUAAAUUUCAAGAAUUCUUUAUGAACCUCCCAUAUAUCGAUUAACCGCCAAAAUCCCACCAAAAGCAAUUUUAUUUUACCUCCAAUACCAUAAUCAUUAUCCGCCACAUUUUUUUAAUUACAUUAUUUAAGCCCUAUAAUAAUACCAAUUAUGUAUUCCAAAAAAAAACCAUUUAAAUACAAAGCUCUCUCUCUACCGAUUUCUUCCAAUCCAAAAUAGAUUUUUUUGUUUGCAUUCUACAUAAUAACAUCAUCAACACAACAAAGGUUUCGUCUUGUCACUUUAUAUUAUUAGCCUACUCGUGUUUCUCUUGAUUUGUUUUUUAUUGACGACUUGAGGGAAUACGUUGAUUUUGUAGAUUUUUAUCCACUAAUGGAAGAUAAUAAGCAGCGAAGCAGAUUCAGAAAAAUUUGUGUCUUUUGCGGAAGCCACUCUGGUCACCGAGAAGUUUUCAGUGAUGCUGCCAUCGAACUCGGCAAUGAACUCGUUUGCUCUCUAUCUUUCUCUUCUUUUGGUUUUGUGAUAAAAAUAUGAACUUUUCGUCAAAUCAAUACAGAUAUCAACUUUUUUGCUCGGUUUUUGAAUGUCAAAAUACCAACUUUAUAGUUUACUUGUUCAUUUCACACAAUGGGUUUUGAGGAUUCUAUUUGUGCUUGCGUCUAUUGUAAGCUUUUGUGGUUUUGGCCUUAUUUGUUGACUCUUUAAAUCUGGGGAUGUUGUUAUUUGAAAAACUGUGAAAUUUCUUGAAGUGUUGUGUGAUUGGAUUUUGUGAUUUUUGGAAAUUUUAGGUGAAGAGGAAGAUAGACUUGGUUUAUGGAGGAGGAAGUGUUGGAUUGAUGGGUUUGAUCUCCAGGAGAGUCUAUGAAGGUGGUUUCCAUGUACUCGGGUUAGUUUAAGACUCUCCAAUUAGUUUAUAGCUCUUUCAGUUUCAAACUUUCUCUAAGGGUUUCUGAUUGGAUUCUCUGUGAUUGCAGGAUCAUUCCCAAAGCUUUGAUGCCAAUUGAGGUAUGUAUCUUCUUAUAGAAGCUCAGUUUUUUUUUUUUCUUUCUUCCAGGAACUAGCAAACUUGGAUGGAGUUUUGAAGUUUGUCUAAUGAUGAAUCAUGUGUCUGGAAGUUAUUCAUUUGUUUGCACUACUAGCUCUUGGUUCUUGCCUACGUUUGUAUGAUUUAAGAUCAGGAGAGGAAACUAUGUUCUUGGUUUUUGUUGUUUGGUUAAAUUUGGGAUUGUGUGGUUUUAUCUUUCUUUCCUCGAAUCUCAUGACUUUGGUUUCAUCAGAUAUCUGGUGAGACUGUGGGAGAUGUAAGAGUUGUUGCAGACAUGCAUGAGCGAAAGGCUGCAAUGGCACAGGAAGCUGAGGCCUUCAUUGCACUCCCUGGUGAGUUAUCGUUUUUCAUACUGAUUCUAGCAAAGUUUUAAACUUUUGGCUUGAAAACCACGGAUGUUUGUUUCAGGAGGUUAUGGAACAAUGGAGGAGCUGUUGGAGAUGAUAACAUGGUCACAACUUGGUAUCCAUAAGAAGACGGUAUCUAACAUUUCCUUUGCUCGGUGGAAGAAGAAGUAGGCUACUAAUACCUCUGUUGAUUCGUUUGAAAUUGUUUCUGCAGGUUGGUCUACUGAAUGUUGACGGAUACUAUAACAAUUUGCUUGCUUUAUUUGACACCGGUGUCGAAGAAGGUUUUAUCAAGCCAGGUGCACGUAACAUUGUGGUUUCUGCUCCAACAGCCAAAGAGCUUAUGGAGAAGAUGGAGGUACAUUAACUUUGCCUUCCCUUUUCUUCUUGUUAUGAGGUUGUGCUUUUACUUCUAUCUUAUAGAGAAGAAAUCAAUGAUUAUCUCUUAGUGAACACAAUUUCCUUGAAAAUCAAAAGGAACACAUGCGGUUUCGAUAAGACAUUGUUGGUAUUAUUGUGUAAAACAUAGUUAAGUGGGAGUGUGUUCAAUAAUUUUGUUUCUCAAAAAGAAUUCAUAAUCUUGGCAGGAAUAUACUCCUUCACACAAGCAUGUUGCAUCGCACGAAAGCUGGAAAGUUGAAGAACUCGGAGAUUACCCGGGACAACAAAACAAGCCGCAAUAAAAAAAACUAUUAAUGUUAGCAUAAGCUACUUCCAUUUCAAGUUUAGUCUCUAAAUUAUUUGCAGAAUCCACAAUGUGUAUAAGAAAACUCAAAUCUUGUUGCAAUAUGAAACAGCACAUUGGGUUCCCAAAAUGAAAGUGUUGCUGAUUAUGUAGUUAAGUUUGGUAUUUUGGGUAAAGAACCAAAAAAAACGAAAAAGACUUCACCUUUUGUGUUGUUAUGUUAAAUCUUUGGUUUCCCCUAAAGAAAGAAAGGAGGAAUCUUUUUGAGUGUGGGUGAUGCAGAAAAGUCUCACAAGUGUCGUGUCAUAGUGAAUGUCCAUUGAGAUAGGAGUGUGGUCCCUUGUUUGUAUCAUUCGAUGGCUUCAAUAGAAAAGCACAAAAUGUGAAUGAUGUGUGACCAAGUUGGACAUGGAUGGGUUUCUUCUUUUUUGCCAAGUGCCUUGUGUGGUGGGGAUUGAUUGGCUAUCUUUUCCUCUUUUUAUUUAUUUUGUGUGUCACAUUCUUCUUUCUACGUUGGAUCAAUUUGAUUAGGUCAUUGACUAGUUUAAAGGUGGUGAUGAUGACCUUCAUGGUAUUAAAAGAUGAUUUUAGAACGUGUUUUUAGAUGGUGAUUAAGGUUUUUUACAAGAGAUUCGGUCAUACUUUGAUUCCUCACCACUAUUUAAAUAGAUAAAUGAGUACAAAGAAAUCCGCUGGAAGAGGGUAAAAUAUUUCUCUUAUGUCAUCGACAAUGUACCGCAAAACACUAAUAAUAGCUUCAAAAUUUGUACUCAAAUUGCUUAACCUUUUCUCUAAAUUUUGUUUACAUCGGCCUAAUAAAUAUACUUAGUUGUUUGAACAAUGUUAUGGGUACUAAAUUAGUUGAAUGUAUGUUUUGAAUCUCGCACAUAUGGGUUCGAAAAUCUACUUCGAACUUCAUUAUAUUCUUUGUCGAGGAUAAUCUAAUGUUUGGAAAAGAUUUCAAAAUCAUAACAUCUUUUGUGUUUUGGUAAAAUCAGUUAAAGAUACAUCUAAUAAUAACGGAAAAACGGUCUAUUUCUCCCCGAGAACUAUCGUAUCUGGCCAGAUAAAGCCCGAUCUUUGACCUCUGUCUAUAUACCCAUGAAACGGAAGUUAAAUGUUUAUUUCCACACCAAUUGAAAGUUCGAGAGCUUAAUGUCCAUGAAUCAUAAGUUCGAGAUUUAAAACCCCAUAGCGCUGGGUUAAUUGGUUUAUUGUAUACCAAACCGAUGCUUUAACCGAUUAAACCUAAUUAGAACCAAUCUAAACCCAAAUUACAACCUGUUCUUGGUUGAAAACAAUCUCAAGAUUUUCCGGAGUCGGCUUGUAACCGUAAACUUGUCGGAGCUAGAUUCUUCUGCGGUGGUUAUGAAGCAACCAACGGGAAAAUGAAUGAAACGACUGAGUUUCGUUCUCCGCGUGACUCCGAUGGACAUGGGACUCACACAGCUUCAAUCUCCGCCGGCCAUUACGUUUUUCCGGCGUCAACUCUUGGCUAUGCUCGCGGCAUCGCUGCUGGGAUGGCUCCGAAAGCUAGACUCGCCGCUUACAAAGUCUGUUGGAACUCCGGUUGUUACGACUCCGAUAUCUUAGCUGCUUUUGACACCACCGUAGCCGACGGUGUCGAUGUCAUCUCUCUUUCCGUUGGAGGCGUCGUGGUUCCUUAUUACCUCGAUGCCAUCGCCAUUGGAGCUUUCAGAGCUAUUGACAGAGGGAUAUUCGUCUCUGCUUCCGCCGGAAACGGAGGUACUGCUUGUUUACGGUGGUAGUUUACUCGGCGGCGAUGGUUACUCUUCGUCUCUGUGUCUUGAAGGCUCGUUGGAUCCGAAUUUGGUUAAGGGAAAAAUUGUUCUUUGUGACAGAGGAAUCAAUUCUAGAGCAACCAAAGGUGAAAUCGUACGGAAAAAUGGAGGCUUGGGGAUGAUUAUAGCGAAUGGUGUGUUCGACGGCGAAGGUUUAGUCGAUUUUUGGUUUUGAUGUGUUUUUUGGGUAAUGGGUCAUAAACAGGUUGUAAUUUGGGUUUAGAUUGGUUCUAAUUAGGUUUAAUCGGUUAAAGCAUCGGUUUGGUAUACAAUAAACCAAUUAAACCCAACGCUAUGGGGUUUUAAAUCUCGAACUUAGGAUUCAUGGACAUUAAGCUCUCGAACUUUCAAUUGGUGUGAAAAUAAACAUUUAACUUCCGUUUCAUGGGUAUAUAGACAGAGGUCAAAGAUCGGGCUUUAUCUGACCAGAUACGAUAGUUCUCGGGGGGGAAAUAGACCGUUUUUCCAAUAAUAACAAUCUUGAAACUUUAUCAUUUACUAGUCACACUUGCGUUUAGGGACCAAGAAAAGCUGAACUGGGGUGUGGGGGUUGGGACCCUUGAAGUACAUAUAAAAAAAAAGAAAAAAAAAAGAGAAAAUGAGAGAUGGUAAAAUACUAAAAUAGUAAAAUGUGAAAGUGUCACUUCAUUGUCAAACAUACUUGUCUCCCUCAGUUUUGAUGUGUAUGUCCUGAUUUGGUACCAAUAUAGGUUAAACCCCAACCUAAUUGUAGUUGAUGUUUGUAUCUCUUGCAUUAUGUGCAUGAGUGCAUCUCUCACUUUCUUUCCAUCUUUUCCCCUACAAUUUGGUUAACCGGUCUUUUUCAGUUUCUGUACCAACAACCAACUUGCACAUCCAUAUCUUUGAGUUUUCAUUCUUUUCCCUCAAGAUAUUAAUGAAUACAUACAAGAGAAGACCAUGGAAGAACAACUACACUUUCAGAGCUAAUAACAAAAUAUAAGACGCAACUCAUAUAUAAAUCAAACCGAAUCAAAAUUUGAGACCAAAUGUCCACUCAACUCUUAAUUAUGGGUCAUGAGGAUUGAUCGACAUCAGAGCCUUAGUGAUGACGUGUGUUCGCUAGAAAUGAUAUGUCUAUUCGUUCAUUUUGUUGUCUUUUCAGACGAUUCAAGUGACCUAAUCGGUAUCAAAACUCACUAGAUCAUUCAAAUGUCUGGCAUUUGAGCAAAAUGGAGAAAAAAUUAAGGACCCGAAGGUAGGUAUAACAUAAACCAAGUUGGUUCGUAUAUACCAGAUUCAUAGUUUGCACAAUUAGAGUAACAUGACAAAGGGAACUCAUAUUUCACAUUUUAGAUACCAAGUUACGUCAUAAAUUGAUCCCAAGCUCUGACUUUUAAUCUGUUCCCACAACUGGAAUAUCAAUGAAAUGAAACCCCGGAAUAUGAAAAUCUGACACCUUUACUCAUAAAUUCGGGAAAUAACUUGUGUUAAAUGCAUGCACUCAGCAAAUAUUCUUCGGUGUUUCUAUAUCUCUUUUUCUGAAUCUCUUUAGUCUUUAUCUUUUGAUGGGGAUGAUAAGAGAUGGUGUAAUGUUGCUGCUUGGAUAACCGCACUUGGGUUUGUAUCCUUUGGUGUGUGAGAAGGUGUCCGCCUUAUGUUGAAACCUCUUUCUAAACUGGUUUGUCUGGAACGCCGGAAUGACCGUGGAAGAUGUCUGAUAAGCCGUGAUGAAGUCACAAGUAAUACAACACCUAGCAUAAUAAGUAACCUGCAAAAAGUUUCAAGAAAUCUAUAGUUCUGAUGGCAAAAUCUAUUUGGAAAGAUCCGUUGCAACUUCUGAUUCAUGUGUACGUGAUGUUUCUCUAAUGACAGAUAGAAGUUGUCUUAACUGGCACACUAACAAUACAAGAAAGUAAUGAGUAGAACUUUACCAUCCCAGGAGAAGUAAAAGCCGUCCAGAUGGUGAAGUGGGUAAUUUCUCACCCAGAGCAAACAUUCCUGCAACCACACCUGUUACAAUUGAUGCCACAGCAGCGCAAGUGGAUACUACGAUUGCUCUCCCAUGUUUUAGUCCCCGAGUCUGGUAAAGUAAAAACAAAAAUAAGACUAGAAUCAAGAUUACAUAAAAACCCUGAAUAUCAACCUAUGAAAAAACUACAGGUAGAGAGAGAAUCCUUUAUGCUAUACACGAUGGUGCAUUACACAUUCAUAUGCAGAUAGGUAAGACUACGAGGAAGUGUAAAAAGACUAAGCUCGGACAAAGUACCUGGUAGAAAAAUCCUGUUCCACUACAGCAUAUACUAAUAGAAAUGCACAUGGGAAUGAACAUUGCAGAAAAUCCCUGCUCCACGAAUACAAAACCCAUCUUUGAUACUACAGAUGCCAUCCUGUGAUCAAACGAGUUAUAAACUGUUGUCAGCUAUGCACCAAGCUAUGAAUUCAGUUCAAAUAUAGUUUUUGUCUCUCUGAAAAUGAUUUGCAGACACACCACUACAUAGGUCCUUCUAUGUUCUAAAAAAUUAACAGCACAUAUCAAUGGAUACAUAGGAGAUAAUCGGUAAAUAUCAGAGGCUAGGCACAUAAGACGAAAUAUGCUCUUUGAUGUUUAUGGGUACCGAAAGAUACCCGAAUAAAAUCCCAGAUUCCAAGCCAUAAAUAAUUUCUUCCACCACUUCAUACUCCCCCUACAAACCAAAAUUAGGCUAAGUGCAUUUGGUAGGAGAAAUAAAAGUCAGUAACAUUAAAGGUGAUACUAGUUCUUAUAGCUGAAAACAAAUUAGACAGCUAAUAUACCAGCUCCUGCUCCCUGCGCUGGCGUUUGAAUAUAUGAAGCCACGCAUUUAGUAGUACCUAGUCCCAAAAAUCCAACAAAGAAGUUAUUAGAAACAUUGCCAUUACCUCACCAAUUAAGUAAUAUACUGAUAUUAUUUGCAAAAAACAAAUUAUAGACCCAAUUGUUUUACUGCUCAGACUUAGAAAAGAUGUAUACAAGUUCAGAGAAGCCAUCAGUCAGCAGAAGAUAAAAGGAGAUGAUGCCAGAAGAGGAACACUUUUCUAUGAAAUACCAAUACCAUGGAUGAAAGGUACCUACAAACAAGAUGGCAACAACCAAUGCUAGCCACAGCAACUGGAAGACCGAUAUUAAUGAUGCUUCUUGCUCCUCACCACCAGCACCAACUCCUACAGAAAAUGUAUAAAUCCUCACCACAUAUUAGGUGAUUUUCUGUAUGCAGAAGAUGAUAGUAAGCAACAGUCAAAGAAUCAAUAAUGAUUGAUGUUACCUAUGGUGCCAAUGCCGGCGACGGUAAUCCCAAUCCAGUCAAAAACAUUCAUGACUUCUUUCAGAUAAAAAUGCGAAAAGACGGAAAGAAUGGCAAGUCCACAUCCAGAGACUGGCUGAACAACAGACACCUGAAAGCAGCAGAUUUCCAAAAGCUCACAAUCAGGGCCUAAGGUUUAUCAGCACGGCAAAUUAUCAUAAACAGACAUCUCAAAGGCAACUAUCUUGACAUCAAAAUGAAAGAUUGAGAAAGUUUACUUACAGGGGCAAGUGAUAGUGCUCUCAGCAUCAACAAAGCCCCAACAAUGUCCAUAAGAAAACCUAACGCCCAUGGUUUGUUAACAGCAUAUGCUCUUAUCACCUGGAAUUCGUAAAUUAUGAUCAAAUGUGAGCUUCCCAUAGAUAAAUUGACCACCACCACCUCUAACUCAUCACCAUGAUUGACAUGACAAAUUCAAUGAAACAUGGAAUCGAGCCUCCGCAAUAAUUUGAAUCAGACAAUUUGACUCCGAUCCAAUUUCGAAACUCGAAUUUCACAAAUUUUCAUCGAAUUAGUUGUAUCACGAAAUCGAAUUCAAAUUUCCAGAAAGUAAGGUUAACGUUUUUUAGAGAUCCGUCCAAUCAAAUAGCAUGCAAUCAAAAUCCAAAGCAUCAAAAGGGCGAGACAAAAGAGAAAAUCGGAAGAUUAGAGAGAGAGAUUUACCUUAAGCUUGAGGGAGAGAGGAGGGAGGAUAAUAGUGCCCUUCUUCUGGAGAACUUUGCCGAUAUUGUUGCCGGCGGUGGCCGCAAGCGUUAGGCAAAUCGAUUCCCACAUCUCUCAAAACGCCGACGAGAAACGAAGCAAGCUUUUUUUAUGGAGGAAUGAUUUUUGCCGAUGUGUUACGUUAUUAUUAUUUACAUACAUGCCCCUCUUCCUAUUUUUAUUUAUUUAUUGACAUGUCGUGGUAAAUGGAAAUAUAGUAAUUUCCUUUUUUUAUAGCAAUUUUAUUCUAUGGUAACAAAACAAAAUUUAUCUCUGUGCUUUCAUUGAUUUUAUUUUAUCAUAUUGCUGAAAACAAAAAAUAAAAUACAAGCUGGCAAAAAAUUAAAAUAAGUAAGUAAAUUAUACAUGCUAAUUAAAUUUUAGGUUUUGAGUAGGUAAAUCGGUGCAAGUCAAAAAAGCUAAUGGCGUUUACAAGUCCAUUUUUUCAAAUUUUUUAAAAUACAAACUAUUUCAAAGUUAUUAUAAAACAUGUAACUACAAAUGUCAAGUGUAAAACAUAGCCAAAGAAAAUUAUAUUACGUUAUGAAACAUACAUUCUACAUAUAAAUGUAAAUGUAAACAAACAGUUUAAACCUAAAAACAUGUUUUGGCUAUUCUCUGGCAAAAGACUAAAUGUGAAAAUAUUUUUCCCAUUUUUUUGUUGGUUCAUAAUCAACCAUUUUAGCUGCUUAAAAUUUGGAAACUUCUUCACAACUUGGAUUUGGAAUAUGACUCGAGUACAAAGUAUAAACUAAUGGUACAUAUGCAUUUACGAAUCCGAUGGGUAUCUAAAUAUUUUUUUGUUUAGAAUGCUUCAUUAGAUUAAAUAACCCAACUUAAACAAGUUCAACAUAAAAAAACGUCGCUAACCAGUAACCAUGCUUAGCUAAUUCGUCCAUGCCAACACAUGAGCAGUCCUCUGCCCUCAAAAUUAACCGAAAACUGAAUAGUCGAGAAGGCGAGAUAUAUUUUAAAUUAAUUGUGUUGAUUGUUUUGGGUAUCUCAUUCAUUUUGUUGAUAUUGAAAUGACUUGAAACAGAGUUGUGAUAUGGGAUUUAGUAUGAGUUGUCCUCUGCCACAAGUUUGUGAUGUUUAAAGAACUAAUCAGUGGAAAUUUUGACCUAAUCUUAGUUAAACAAGUGGGUUAUCUCGAUGACAAACAAAACAUUUAAGUCUUCCAAGUGCAGACUCAGAUCAAAACCGACAAAGUAAGCUAUUAAGAAUGACAAACACAAAUAGAGAAAUGGUCCCCAAAUAAACCGAGUUAUUGUCAGCUUGUCAAAAGCCAACUUUUUACUCGAGAUCAUAAUUAACCACAAGUAAUCAUUUUACUAACAGAAACUUGCUUUCUAAAAUCUCAAGUUCGAGAGAUCUUACAAGUUGCAAACAUGUUGAAAUGAUAACCUCUAAAAUGGUACCUAAGAAUCAUAUAAACACGUGAAAUAAAUUGUUAACGUUGAAUAAAAGCAGAGCUUUUGAUGCGAAUUAAUGGAUGAUCACCAAAAAGAUGUGAACAUAAUUUAAAACCAAGGAGUGAGAUAAUUGAUUAAUCACCAGAUGUAAUGAGGCAAACACCAAAACCCAACCAUCAUGUCAAAACCUAGUUGUAAACAAGAAUGGAUCAUCAUGAUACAUGGAUCAAGCAAGAGACCGUUUCACAAUCUAUUUGAAACAAGACUUUAGACGACUAAUAAUCUUAGCAAAGAGCAUCAAACAAGAAGAUUCUCCAUCGAACCUAAUUUCUGAGUGCAAAAGAUUCAUCCAAAUUCCAAAGGUCUCUUUACUUGGUGAAACUAAUGAUCAUAUAUAAUUUUGUGGCGAUGCAGCCAUCACAGUUAUAUUCAAGAUUACAAACACACAAAGAAGAUACAUAAGAGAUAAAGAGAGAGAACACGCUCAUAAUUACUUGAGAAAAUCAAAAAUCAAUAUAAAGAAGAAAAAAGCAAAAAGCUCAAGAAAUAAAAACAAGGUAAAAUAAAAUUACAGAAAUUAAAAAGGUGAAAAUGAAUCACCACCAACCAUAGACGACCUGUGUGUACCUCUGCUUAAGCCAUCUGAAACUGUUUCUAAAAGAGCCUUUGACUUUACCUUCAACACCAUACAUCUUAUAACUCGCGACCCGUUUCUUCCUCUGGAGCUCCGGGUCCGUUAUCCCCCACGACUUGGAUCUUGCUAUCGAUUUCUCCUUUUUCACAUCGUAUAUAUUGUUGUCCCUCGUCCCGUACGAUGCGCUAUAGCUCCUGAAAUCACCGGUUCCCGAAGCGCCGCCGUGGUAAGGCUGGAUCUGCAUCCCUCCGUCUCCGUAUGGUCGUUGACGGCCGAAGUCUUCCAUGGAUUCCGGCAAGUUUGAUCGAGAGAAUCUUUUUUUUUGUUAUUACAGCUCAGAGAAUAAUUGGAGAGAAAAGAGGAGAAUAAUAGUAACGCAAAAAAGGACGUGUCUUUUGAGCUGGUCUCAAUUUGUUGCUCCACGCUAUAUGAAUUAUUUUAUUUAUUUCUGUAAUUUAAAAAAAUAUUUUUUAAAAAGGCAAUUGGAGAUAAGAAAAAAGCAAAAAGAAAACCUGUUACAGAUAUUAAAACGCUAAUGCGUUUGGAAAAUUUAAUAAUUAAGAAACAGAAGAUAAUAAAAUUAAGAUUAAUACGUUUUUUACACAUAAGGGAAUUAUGAAAAUUUACUUGUGUGUGAAAUUUCAGACAAAAUUAAGAAUCAUGGAAAUAAAUAUGAAGUAGUAGAAAUUUGUUUUGUGUGCGUAAUUGACUGUUGACCGUUGAUGUGAUUUAGCGGUCAAUGGGCCAAGUUGUGUGUGAUAAUGUUAACGAAUCCAAAAUUAAUUGAUAGGCGUCAUGUUUGUAUUCACACAUUUUGCUGGGAACAGUAGUAUAACUGUAUAAGACCAUAUAUGGCAUAUUCUGUAUUACACUACACAACUUUAAUCAAUGUCUUCAUUUUCCACGAGCUAUCAUUUUCCCACAUGAAAAAGUAGUUGAUAUUUUCUAAAAUUUAAAUAUCAGAAAUUAAGUUGAUAAAUUAAUUUUUCUUUUUUAAAAAAAACGAAAUAUUUAUCAUAGCUUAAGGUCCAAAACCAAAAACUGAAAAAAGUAAAGGUUACAUGUGGCAAUAUUAAGGGAAAGAGAGAAUUAUGGGUCUGACUGGUAGAAUGAGAGUAGAAUGAGAGAAGAAAUAUUUCUCUUCUAAUACCUACCAUUUUAAUUUUUUGUUCUCAAAGAAAGUUUUUUUUUUUCAGCAGAAAACUUUCUUCUACGUAAUAUUAGCACAAAAUUUUUAUAUGUGUAACAUGCAAAUUGAAAUUUUUAUAUGUGUAACAUGCAAAUUGAAAUUUUUAAGACAUCUGGAUGCAGCGAAUGGUUUCUUAGGCCUUUUACUAAGCCCAAGCCCACAGGCUCCUUAACAUGUCCGGUUGACUACUUAACCGGGAAUAUGGAUAUGCCAUAUACCGAAAAUUUAACCUUAACCAAAUCGAUUUGAAAUCUUAAAAAGAGAAGGAUAAAAUGAUGAGAUGACCACUUGACCAGCGUGGUUCUGAUGUCGGUCUCGGCCACUUGCGAUGUGGGGUUGGGCGGCAUAUUCGUUCUCACCACGUGUCUCCUCAGGGGCUCUCCACGUGAUUCCCACGCCGAAAGUGGAAAGAAAUACAGGGUUUGAGUAUCAGAGAAGAAUCUUAAUAGUAAUAUUAAACUAUAUUGUUCUGUGGUCACUUAUAUAUUCCUUUUUGAUUUGAUUAAACAAUAGCAUUGAUUGGUGACAAAACGAAAAGCAGUACAAAGCUGUACACAAAAAUUGUUACCACUCAAAAUAACUUUAUGAAAAAUGGUACACAAUAACAACAGUUUUUUUGGACAAAAACAAAACAAAUUAAAACAGUUACGGUUAAGGUUCAAUACGAUUACGGUUAAAUACGGUUACAAUUACAACAUUUAUGGUUAAAUAUGGUUACUGUUAUUUGAUGACUACAAGUUUACAAUACGGUUAAUAUCGGAGGCGAAAUCUUACGACAAAUUUUCAUCAUUUCGAGCAGUAUAACAUUACAACAUAUUUAUUUGAGAAAAAGACCAUUUUUUAUAAAGUAGAUUUUUUCAUAUGCGCUUUCACAUAAAAAGAAUAGAUUUUUUCAUAUGCGGUAUCAUUUACUUUUUUGAAAAUCUUAGUCUGAACAUUCGAUAUUUGUUUUUGCAUUAUAUGGAGUUACAAUUAUAUUUUUAAAGUUUUAACUAUGCGGUUAAUAGUACGGUUAACCAUGCGGUUAAAUAACGGUUUUGAUAUGUUUACGGUUAAUUAACGGCUACGGUUAAUAUAUAUUUUAACCGUAACUAAUUAUUUUUAACGGUUAACGGUUACGGUUUUUAACCGUUUUAUACGGUUACGGUUGAUAAACGGUCUGGUUACGGUCCGAAAUACGGUUACGGUUAGCUUUUGGUCAUGUCUACAAUCUUCAACUAGGCAUGACCAAAAGCUAAUUGUAACCGUAUUUUGGAUCGUAACCGGACCGUUUCUCAACCGUAACUGUAUAAAACGGUUCAAAACCAUAACCAUUCACCGUAAAACUAGAUUAGUUACGGUUAAAAAAAAUAUACUAACCGUCACCAUUAAUAUACCGGAAACGUAUCAAAACUGUUAUUUAACCGUACGAUUAACCGUAUUAUUAACCGCAUAAUUAAACUUUAAAAAUAUAGUUGUAACUAUGUAAUUUUUUUUUCUAAACUCUGAAUAUUAUUUAUUAUUUGUAUCGUUAUGAUGUUUCCAAUCAGAGUUAAUUUUAAAAAAUUGUUCUGUAUUGUUUUUUUGUACAGCUUUCGUGUUUUUUUUCUUUUGUACAGCUUCGCACUAUUCCCUAACAGCUAACAACUCCAGCUAACCGCUCCAGCUAACAGCUAACAGCUUGUUACCAAUCAGACCCAAUGCUAAAUACACAUAUGUGAUUCUGCCUUCUGAAUCUCUAACGCCAACACCAAAGCAAUAUUGAUUAAUAUAUCUCUUUGAUUAGGAUUUUAAAACAUGUACAGACCAGAGAGAGAGCCUAACCAUGUUCUGAUUGCUAAUCCAAAGAAAUUAUGGACUUUAGUUUGGAACUUUUUGAUGAUAGGAAAGAAAAAAGAAACAUAUUAACUUUCACUGCAGUAAUUAAGAACCUGGCUUCUAGAAUUGGAUUUCGAUACAAGUUUUGAUUUUUGUAGUCAACGAAACUAUUGUGCUUUCCAAGCUCAUUCCAACUUCUUUAUAAGUAUGAUAUUGUCCGUUUUAGGCAUACAUGCUCAAGCUCGCACGGAUUUGUUAUUGGACUUCUUCUCAAAAUACCUCAAACUAAUUAGAGUUGGACUUUACUUAGAAACUUCUUUUCUAAACUUCUGAUUUGAGACGUUGGUUUGUAACUUUGUACCAACAGAAACAUUGAUGAAUACAUGACUAGUUUAUUUAUUUAGUAAUCAAUGGUAAAACGGAUAGUCUUUGAUUAAGCCGAUGAAGUUUAACCAUCUUCUAACUUUAAAACGGAUAGUCUUUAAAACGGAUAGUCUUUAAAACGGAUAGUCUUACAAUUACUUAGUUUAAUUUGUAUAAAUACGUUAUUAGGUCUAAAUGCAUUUUAGUUUAACCAUCUUCUAACUUUUGUUUCUUCUUUUUCCUUUUGUUGAGGCGUCAACUUCAAGCAACACCGAAUCCAUAAUGGAUCCAAAUUAGAAGUCAAAGUGAAUAUGUCCCACAACAUUUGAUUCCCUUAUCGUUGAAUGAUAUACCAUCAAUUUUGGAGAUGAUAUAAAUAUAUUUGUUUAGAAUAUUGAAUUAAGUUCAAAAAUACUAUUUAUAAAAAAUAUUGUUUACAUAUAUGAUAUAACGUGAUUCGGUAUGAAAUUUACAUACGCAUAUUUUAAUUUUUAGAAUUUCUAUAAUGUAUUAACUUUCCUUUUAUAUAUAUAUUUAUAUAUAUAUAUAAGUAAAUAACAAAACAACAAAAAAAGAAAAAAUAUAUAUAUAUACCAACGGUGCGUUGGGUUAGUGGGUUAGUAGUUUAAAUGCAGGGGUUGGAUCCAUGUGCUCUCUCAUUCGAUUCCCGGUAGGAAGAAUAUUUUACGCCAUGUUAUAAGGUAUUAGCAAAAGCUGGUCCUCGACCAUAGAGGAGAGAGAUGAUUAAGGCCUAGAUCUAAACCGUCACCUAAUUAAAAAAAAAAAAACAAAAAAAUAAUAAUUAUGAUUUAUGAUGCAAUUGUGUGUGCUUUGCUUAAAAAGGAAAGUUGUCAAGGAAGGAUAACGUAUGCGCACUUCCAUAUUCGGAAUUAUCAGCUAAAAUUUAUAGUUUAAUAUAUAUAUAUAUCCUUCUUCUACUCUGACAGAAAAUAACUAAUUUUCUUCUACUCUGAUUGAACGCACCACCAAUGCUGCACUGCACCAGGUGUCAUCAUCAUUACAUAUUCGCAUUCUCGGUAGAUCUAAUCACCGUUUUUUUUUUUUUUUUUUUCAAAUGGAAACUUUGAAAUAAAGUAACAAUAAUGAUGUGGCUUGUUCCAAAUGGAACAUUCUUUUUUUUGGUAACCCAGGUAUCCCAUGUUUGCCGACAGGGCAGGGAUACACGUGUUAGACUAUCGGUUUGCAUCAGACUAGCCACGUGGUUGGCCAAAUGGCGCUCCACGUGUUGGCUCCUAGAACGCUGCAGCCCAUAUGUAAAUAUUGCAGUGGCCGAGGCUCGAACUCGUGAUGGCGGGUACCUCAGCUGAGGGUCCUUUACCACCAGAGCUAGAGGCUCCGGUUCUUAUAGUUUUCUUUGUCAUUAUGUAUUCUACUAAUUCUAAUUUCGGAUGGUAAUAUAUAAAGAUGAUACUAGCUAGUGAUGUUAAAAAAAAAGAAAAAGAAUAAAAGAUGAUACUUGUAGUAUAAAUUAUUAGGGUAUAUGUUAAGUAGAAAGAUUUUUGUAGUUAUAUUAUAAUUUGUGGUGGUAAUAGGACGAAUUUAAUUUAAGAUGUAAGAAAUCAUAUUCCCUCUGUUCCUGAAAGUUUGAUGUUCUAGUGUUUUAGGUUUGUUUCACAAAUAUUGAUUUUCUAGCUUUUUUAUUUUAUUUUUUAUUAAUUGAUAUUAACAAAUCGUAGAUUUCAAGGCGUAAUAAUUACAAAUAAUUAACUGUUUUAGAUUACUAUUUGUUCAUACAUUAUUAAAAAUAUUUAAUAAAAAAAAAAUUAUUAAAUGAUUAAAUCAUGAUUGUUUCUUAAUAUAUAUGUAAAUUCUAAAACAUCAAAUUUUCAGGAACAGAGGAAGUAUAAUUUAUAAAAUGUUUUUCGGAAAGCAUGCAUGCUUUAAGAUGCUUUAGCGCCGUAUUGGAUAUUGGGGUGUGGCUGAACUUUUUCAUGAUGAGUCUCUGGUGAUUUGUAAUUGGUCGGUCCAAUUUUUUGUUCCACUAAUGGUUAUGCUUUCUUCCUGAAUUCUCAAAUUACUCUAUAUCUAUAUGUUUUUAAAUAUGAGAAUAAAACAUCAUCCGAUGUUUGUUCGACAAACUUCAUCCAUAUGUUAUUCCAAAGUUUUUGGAUCAUUAGUUAUAUAUAUGCAUUGUUAGUUGAUACGUUGUUCACAUUAACAUUUGUUCAUUUUGGGAUAUUCCGUAAGUAACUUGCCACCAAGAGCCAAUUUUUAAUCCUAUGAUUGUGUAUACAAGGAAUAAGGUUUAUGUAUAAUGAAUAUAAUAGAUAUUAUAUAUAUUAAGAGUAAAAUGCUGAUUAGAUAUCUCAUAUCUGUGUAAAUAAACGUGCAACACAGAUAAAAAGACGAUACUAUUUGACGAUUUAUUUUGUGAUUCGAAUUACCAAAUUAUGUUUGACAAAAACAUUAUUAUUAGCAAAAACAGACGACGCCUACGAAAAUCAAGUAGUAAAUCAAUCAGCAUUUUAGUUGAUAGUUGUUUAGACCAAACAAAACAAAAGAAAAAAAACAAGUAGAAAGUUGCAGUUAUUCACGUGGUUACAAAAUGGAACAAUCUUUAUCAAUAAUUCAUGAGGGAGAUUUGAGUUUAUCUCUUUAUCAUUUUUUUUAAUCCCAAUACUCUCUCCCCAUUUGGCUAUAAAAAGCCCCGACAGGUCUCAGUUUCUUCCCACAUCCAAAGAUAGAAAGAUGUAAGGUCUAGUUAGUCUUGUUCUUAAUCUUCAAAUAGAACAAUGAUAUAUAUAAAUAUAUGUCUAUGCAUCGGUUGUGGAGGACUAGCUACGGUUUCGAGCCUGGUCACAUGCGUAGAGUGUGAAAGGUAAGAGGAGGUGACAGAAGAGAGUGAGCACACAUGGUGGUUUCUUGCAUGCUUUUUUUUAAUUAGGGCUUCAUGCUUGAAGCUAUGUGUGCUUACUCUCUCUCUGUCACCCCUUCUCUCUCUCUUUUCAAAUUACAAGGUUAAUUAUAACUGGUAAAAGGUCUCUGGUUUUGUUUGAUAUAUUUGAGGUUUUAGUUAUAUUAUCAUCAAACGGAUCAAAGUAGUUUGAGGGUAUGAGUAGUAUGCAACUUUUGUUAUAAUGUUAUUUCGUUACAUCUAAAAGAUAUAAUACUAUGUUUUUAUAUCAAAUAUUUUGUUCUGAAUUGUAAACGUCAAGUCGGUAGUAUUUGGGAAAAAGUAAUUAAUAAACGUACGAUGGAGCAAAAAAAAAAAUCAUUGUGUUUAUUGGUUUCAAACAUAAUUAAAAAUAGCUACUAUGUGUCUCCUAUAAGCAUAGAUAUUAUUUAUUUAAAAUUGAUGACUAUUUUUUAACCUCCUAAGAACAAACAUGUUCAUUUUUUUAUUCAAGAUGUUGGAGUACUUAUGUUAAUCUCUAUGCAGUUACACGUAUGAAUCUGCCUAUCAUAUAAUUAGAUUUAUAAGAAUUUGGCUACCAGUGUACCUUUGGUGUACUUUUGUGUGACAAAUAUUUUGUCAUUGCAGAUUUGAAACCCUAAACUUUGAUACGUUUGAGAGGAGUUUGUUCUAAGUAUGAUAUUUGGUUGAAGUGUUUAUACAAAUGAAUCUUUUACCCGAUUUCUUUUCCAAAAUCACAAAUACAAUUUUUUUAUUUGAGGAGCAAAGGAAGCCGACAUUGACGACGGUUGAAAUUAGGUUUAGACGGAAAAAAAAAACGCUUCUUCUAGAUCUUUGUAUGUACGAGUUCAUGCAGAUGUGACCGCUUACGGAAGUUUGUAGAUGGAGACAACAUUUGUGGAUGACGGAAGUUCAAAUAUAUAAGAAAGACGGAUUUUGCAUAUAUAAACGUGAUGGACAUGUAUUAUGUUGUAAAAGAGAUGGAUGCUAAAAUCUGUUCAUAUACGUUUAUGUUAAUUAUUUAUAAUAUUAUAAAAUAUUUACUUCAAUUUUCCUUCAAAACUAUUAUCCAAAAAAAGUCUUCAAUAAUUAUAUUGACUUGAGUCACAAAAUAAACCAGUUUUAACGUUGAACAUAAUUUAUGAAAAUUGUGACUAAAAUACCAGUGUGGUAUAACUCUGAAGCUGCCCUCUCCUCCUUGCAAAUUGUAGACGAAAUCCAAAGACGUUUCGCCAACUUUCUCAACAAUUCAAAAAAAAAAAACUCAAAUCGCAAAAUUGCUUGUUUUAGAUGUAUUCGUAAUGUAUACUCAUCCACACAAUAAAGAGUUAACAAUUACGACAAAAAGAAUAGGACUGGCCGACUGUGUGAGAUGAGGAUCUUGUGUGACCAAAUCAAUUGAAAAUUUCUUGCUAGAAUGGCUCCAAAUCGGACUUUCAUAUUUUCAUCAGUAGCAAAAAAAUGGAUAAAGUCUUAAUCCCAUAAAAUUUAUACCAAAAUGCAUUGAUACUCUUCACUCACUUUUAAUGCUUUUGUUGUCUCUCUCUAUAUAUAUGUGUAUUAGCAUAUCAUUCUUACAACAGAAGCCAAAUUUAUGGAAAAAAAAACCUCAUGAAAAAACCUCUUAAGAUUCAGGUGUUGUCUCAGGAGUCUGCAAAGGAAUAGGACUGUUAUCUUCUUUCUCGUUCGGACUCUCAGCCUGUUUUUCUUCAGGUUGGGAGGCUACACCAUUUUCUGAUGCAUCCUUUGUGUCGGUGCUGAUGACUUUCGGAGAUUUGUUGGAUGGUUCUUGAGAGGACGAUGCAGCUAAGAUGCGACCCAGACCUUCGUAUGGGCUCUUGGCAUCCAUAACGAUUGUGGCACCACCUGGAUAACAUCGGCCAAAGCAUGUGGCGCAAUGUGGAAAAACCACCUGUAAGAACAAGGAACCAAAGAGAAAAAAGGGAAAUAUGAGUCAGGACAUAGAGGUGUUCAAUCUGGAAACUGUGGCUUGUUGAUACAAAACUGAGAUGAGAAUGAGAUGAGAUUCAAAACUGGACCUCGACAAAAGCUCGGCAAAGUGAGAGGAAGAGAUUGGAUUCACUGAGUCGAAGCAUCCGAGUUGUAUUGUAUCUUAGUAAGGAGUCAGACACGGCCUGGAGUCCUUUGAUCAGUUCAUGAGCAACAACAUUCUUUAGACUUAGUGGGGCACAAGGACGUAAUUCGUUCAAAGCAGCAGAUACACCUGUGGAAAUGGCCGGGAUUAUCAAUCCAAAUCAGACUGUGAAAAAACAUCCAUAAGAGAUACAAUUUUCAUUUUGCAACAUUUGACAUAGUUAGGAGUUAGGACACUCAUUUUUUGGUUAUAUCAUCCAUACUAUUAAAAAUUGAUACUUAAUAAUUAUCUCACCGUUUAUGAAAACUGCAAGUGGCGGGUGCUCCAUCAAGUAUGAUGGAGGUGUGACAUCAUCCUUGCUAUCUUCAUUAAUACCACUUGAAGGGAAGCCAACAGAUGGUAAUGGAACCCAUCGAUGUGAAUCCAAAACUAACUGGACGUAAAACAUUAUGAAGAAUUCAAAAGAGCAAUUCAAGAGUGCGACAUGUGGUUAAAUGGAAACCAAACAUUGUCUGAGUUGAGCUCCAUGCCAGAACAAACGUUCAAAUUUUGUAUUUACUCACCUGGAAAUUCUCAACUGCUGUACUCAUGUUCUUGGAGAAUAAGUUUAGAACCGCCCUGUAGAAAGUAUGCGAGUUAGAUGUUGAACUUGUACAGAAAUUAGCAAAGAUUAUGACAGCAAUUAAAAUUAGAUUGAAAGAAUUGUUACUCUUCAAAAAGUGGAGGAAGCAAACCCCGGAAAUCUAGCCCAACCCAACCAAGCCCCAUCGCACAGUACUGAGUGGACAAGAGAAGGAAGGUAAGAUGUCAAUCAUCAGAGUUGAACAGUGAAUUCAAAGGGGAAUACAUGAGAUGCAGAAGAACUCAACCAUGCACUGAUCCAAAAUAUUUGAUAGAGAUCCUCCUUCAGUAAUCUUCGGAAGCAUGAUUUUCAGAGUCUUCAGGUGUGAUGUUAUUUGAUGCAUGGCCCAGCUAAACAGAAGUCCACCAUCAUAAUUUUCUUCGCUCCCCGAUGUAUCAUCAGCAAAUAUAGCUCGAUAUUGGUUAACCACGUCAAAUAGGUGCAUUCUGUGACAGUUUAUCAUCCCUUUUAAAUACUCAUAGGCAUUUUUCUGGUCUAAAUCCUCAAGAAUUCCAGUGAGCCACGCCUCUCGGCAUCUUAAGAACUGCACAGACAAGAAGAUCCAUUCAUAAGUGAAGGCAGAGACCAUAGAAAAAGGAAUACAUGUAAUGGAGGAUAACUUCAAAUGGUUAUAUGUCAAAAUAGUUCACCUGUAAUCGCAUUUCAUACUCGCCAAAGACACCUAUUCGGCGUAAGUAUCCAAUAAUGCGGAGACAUUCUGGCAACUGAAAUAUAGAGCAUCAACCAGAUACUGAGCCUUCUAGAUUGCUAAGCUUAACCAUUCCAUAGUUUACUGAAUACAAAAAACAAAAACUGUAUUCACAUGAAACCUGUAUAUUUGAGCGUAGUUUCUGGAGAAGCUGUGAGAGAAGUGACUGAGUUGUUUGUCUAACCUCCGCUGCAAGUGCUUGGAUAACUGGCAAUCUUGACAUACAGAGAAGAUAUAAUUGUUAGAGCUAAAGCUUGAUGGUUGAGGCCUUAAGUAGUCAAAGGAAAAGUAUCGUGAGAAAGAUAACAAAAACAACUCACUUGGGAUGCAUGGUAGCAAGUUUCGAUACAAAUGCUUCCAGGUCAAGAGCCUCAUCAAAAUUUCCAUUCCUCACGCAUCUGAAGAAGAUACAAAUCAUUUUAAAAAGAACUGUACACAUCUAAAAGUUGCUUGCUAACGCCAGGAAUAAGAUCCACUUUUCUUUUCUCUCAUGCAAGGCAUAAAAUAGCUUACGUGUCCAUAAGCUGAGGAAUCUCAAGCAAGUCAAGAAGAGUGCUGUGAUUUGCCAGCAAAGAUUGGUUCAUCUUCCUCUUCUCCAGAAUAUUCUCAGCAGAAUCGAUAAAUUCUGUGCAACCGGACGUUAAUUUUGGGACUUCGCCAAUCUACAAAAGGUGAAAAGAACAGAACUCCGACAUCAAAAUUUGAAAGAAAAAAAAACAUCUCCAAAGAUGCAACUGCUAAAGUCAGAGGAUGCUUUAUAUAGAUGUGCAAUAACCAAUCUUGUUUACUGAAAACAAGGAAGCUCAAGCUACAUUCCUAAUUCAAUGAUUCAUUCACCUAUCCUCAAGACGUUAGGUAUCUCCUAGACUACAACACAUCAAGAUCAAUCACCCAAGUUUUGCAUACACUGAGUCUACAAAACUGCAAGACCUGAAACAACAUGGUUCUGCAACUAGACUAGACUUUCUAAUUUCCUAACUCUAAAACUAUUAAAUGCUCCAAACACGAUGCCGCGUACUCUUCCAACCUUAACUAGUUUCAGAUCUUAGCAAUGAUACUUGCACUGUGACUAAUCGUAACUUUUAUCGGCCAGGGUUCAGAAGUAGAACUGAAUUGACAAAUGGAAGGAAACCAGAGUAUAAUUUUUACCAGAGACUCGAGAUGCUUAUCAAUGGAAGAAACUUCCUGACGGAUCGCAAGCAAAGCAUCAGCAGCGGUGAUAAACGCGCGGUAAUUUCCAACAGCCACCUCUUGCAUUUGCCUCUGAAUCCUCUCCGCAUCCACUCGAAGCAGCUCCGGUUCCUUCAAAUUCAGUAACCGAUAUAAGAUUCACAAUAACCCAUGCGCGCAGAGAUGUCAAGAGAAAGAGAUAGAGAGAGAGAGAGAAACCUUGUGGAGACGAUCGAGAGUGAAAGAGAGGAGCUCGGAGACGUACGGUUGCUGAGUGGCGGAAGCGAGAGAGAGAAGACUCGCCGUCGCCUCCGGCGGAGACAUCUCCCCAACCUCCGUUGCCAUUCCCGGAUCUUACUCUUGUAGCCGAUGCUAUCAAAAUCUCCUCAAUGGAAGUAUACAACAACAGAUCCAGAAACUCACGAUUUUUUUCAAAUAAUUAACAUCAAAUGUUGUUUCUGUGAUUUGUUUUCAUGUCUUUGGAUCUGAAAUUUCUCUUCCGAUUUUAUUUUCUCUUCGAAUUAAGGAGUAAACCAAGUUGAUUUUAACCGAAAUUCGGCUCUAUAAGACUUCGGUUCGGUUAGGAAAAUAAACCAACGUACCCGGAAAAAUGAUUAUUGUCAUGCAUUUCACUUUUUUUUUUUUACAUUGUUUUUACUUGUCUUACAUAUAAAUUGCAUUAGCUUAAUUAAGGGUUUGCCCAAAAAAAAAAAGAUUAGAGUAAGGGUAGGUUUUGGUUAUGGUUAACUUGGACAAAAUCAGCUAGCUUAACUCGUUUUCACAUGCCUGAAUACUUUGACGUUCGAUGUGCAUUGAUGAAAAAGUAAUCUUAUACUAUUACACAAAAAAAAAUACACUACAGUAUAUAUUAGUCGUAUUAUAUAAUAAUAGAGGAGUCUUUUACACUAACGAACCGUUAAGAAAAAUAGAUAGAGUAGAUACAACAAGAGCAAUCAAAAAAGAAGAAGAAAGGAGAGGAAUUGAAUUUGAUGCCGUGUAGAAGUAGAAAUAAGGAAAUGGGUAAGGAGGCUGCUGCUGCCCUUGUGACUGUCCCUUUGGCGAUGGUGGUGGCGAUGGUGGUGAUGGUGGAGGUGAACCUUUUCCAUCGGGAGAUAGUGGUGGAGGAGGUGGUGUGGACUCAAAAUAGUAAAACCGUGGUGGUGGUGGAUGGAUGACGGUAAUUAAUGGCGGUGGUGAACCUGACUGUGAAAGCGGUGGUGGAGAGUGUUUGUGUGGCGGUGGAGGCGGUGGCGAAGAGGAUAACGGCAAUGAGGGAGACUGAGGUGGUGGUGUGGAGGGAGAGGGUUUAUUAGAAGGCGGAGGAGAGCAAAUGGUGGGACACGUGGAACAUUCGCUGAUGCAAAGUGGAGUGAGGACAUCUGUUUGAUCGGACGGUGAUGAUGCAACUACUAUGACCAUGACCAAUGCAAUGAUGAUGACGAUGAGGCCCAUGAUGAUGAUCUAACUAUUGGUGUUUGGAGUGGAAUGUUCAUUGCUUUAGUUAGUUGGUUGGACAUUUAUAAAAUAUCUUGAUGGCUUGAUACAAAGAUGCUUUCUUGAUGGAUUGUGUUUUGCUGGAAAGUUAAUUUUAGAAUUGCGAAUAUCAAAAAGACAAUGUUAAGCUUUAGAUGUUUUUAUUUAUCUUAGGGUAAAGAUGCAAACAUAGCUUUUUCAACAUUUUGAUAAAUGACUUAUGAUAUUCCUUUCUCAACUCAUACUCAAAAAUAAUUCAUUUUAUGAAGCAAUACAACUGAUUCUCUAGAACCAAAAAGUGUCACACUCUCCAAAUUUUUGGUGUCAUUGUUCUUUUUAUACUUUGCUUUCAAAGGUGGCUUUGUAUCAAUCCUGUUUUAUAAAGGUCGCCAUUGUAUUGAUUCGUUCAUCUUUUAAUCUUUUCUUAGAUUUUUGUUUCUGUUUUAUAAUUUAUCUGUUCUUUAAUAACCAAGUAGUACUCUUAGUUGUAACCGGGUGAUUUUAUAUGUUAAAGCCCAAAUUAAGUUGAACUCUUUU